Molecule: long non-coding RNA, 52778 nt
Filed under: Salvia miltiorrhiza (redroot sage)
Lineage: Eukaryota; Viridiplantae; Streptophyta; Magnoliopsida; Lamiales; Lamiaceae
Description: long non-coding RNA (SMIL_LNC007894)
Source: RNAcentral
GACUACCAUGUCAUCCAGGACAACCCGGAUGACCAGGCAUCCAGGACGACCACGCCAUCCCGGACAUCUCCAAAAUACACAAGCAACUUGGAUGACUUGGCAAUCCAGACAACCCGAACAUCCCGUAGACAUCAACAAAACAAAUACACAAUAGUCAUGAGAACAAGUCUUCAAUACCAAAGAAAUGCAAAAAAUAUACUACACACAACUAUCAACACAGAAUCAACAAACAAUCAAAGCAGAACUCUUCAAUCUUCAUCAACAAACGAGUGAACAACAACAAACUUUUCAACUUCAUAUGUUCUUGAUUAUUACAACUUUCCAAAGCACUUAUCAACAUAUUUCCUCAAAACUGGGAAAUUUACAAGAAAAAAGAUGAACACAUGAACAAGAAAAAGAAAAUCCUCAAUUUCCCAGCAAUUUCCAGCCGCUUCUACAGCUACGUUUCCUCCCUCCGCCGCAGACAGUUCUCUUUCCCGAUUUUACGACCAAACUCCGACAGUAUCAACCACCCACCAUCAACUCCACACCAAAAUCUCACAAUCCCGGCAGCCUUCAACACAAAAAAAGGGAAAGAAAAAUAGAACAUUUCUUCAAUUUGGCCGAAGCUAGCCCUCGCAGCCUGCUCCACAUUUUGUCGGACAUGGUUGUCGGAACGACGACAUCAAAUCCAUCUCCUCGUUGCUGCCAAGAAAUUGAAAGAUACGAAACAAACACAGCCCCGUCUCGCGAAGCCACACCGCCCUGCUCACUCUCAGAUCUAGAAACUAAGGAGCAUCCGCUUCCUUCUCCAGUCACCGCCGCCGCCUCUAAAAAAGCAGGGAGGCCGACUACACCUCAAGCCAUCUCUCCUCUCUCUCGUCCCGUCGAGCCACGCAAGAGCGGCCUGAGAUUCGCGGCGAGAGAGCCUGCCGCCGCUCACUCCGCCAACGCUAGACCGUCUAUCGGUCCUUGCCGCCCGCUCUAAGGCCGCCGGAGCAACCACCUCGGCAGCUUUUCUCUCAAGAAUGCCAUGUUCAAAAUCAAGCAUUGAAAAGCAGCGCCCAAGGAGGAAUUAACUGCUCAUUGUGGCUGAAAACCCUAACACCCCAUUCGGGCCUAUCAAGUCUCCCUAAACACACAAAUUCGCAUGGGCCAUCAGGCCUUAUAAAAAUUUCUCACAAGCCCACGAAAUGUGGAGCCCAGUUUAAAUAGAAUAUGGGCAAUUAAAUGUUCUAGCCCAAAUUAAUAUUCACAAUCGCAUAUAGUUAUACAAGUAACAUAUUAAUAUUACAGAAUCUUUAUAUAUAUAAAGAGCAAAGUAAAUGUAAAUAAAUUCAAUUAGAAGGAUAUAAUUGGAAUUUGAAAAUAUAUAUAUAUAUAUAUAUAAAUCAUAUUCAUUAAACUACCGAAAAAUUAGCCUAAAAGAAAACUACCGAAAAUUGUGAUUCAAAGCAAAAAAAACUGCCCAACUUACUAUUUUUGUAAAUUUAGUUUAAAAUUUUAAUUUCUUCCUUUUUUCUCAUUUUGUUGAUAAAACAUAUUUUUCUCAUUUUCAUGAAAUUAUAUUUUAGAUAAAAUAUGUAAUAUACAUCUUGAAUAAAAAGUCAUGAAAUUACCUUUAAUUUGAUACUAUAUAUUAUUAAUCAUUUUAAUGCACAAUUGAUUUAUUCAGAAUUAUUUUUAUUAAAUAAAAUAUUUUUAUUUUCCGAUGCAUUUUUUUUAUAUGAGAAAAAUUAUUUUGACAUGUAUUAAAAGAAGUUUCAAUAUUUUGUGAUUAUUGAUAUUUCAAAACUAUCUAGAUUUAUCUCACUAAUUUUUUUUGAUAUGUUUGUUUGUUGUUAUUUGUUAGUAUUAUUUUAAAGUUAUAAAUAUUAAAUUUAUUUUUAACAUUAUUAAAUAGAAUUAAUAAUUAUAAGUUAUUUCAUAUAUAUUAUGUGAGGUAUUGUGAUAAUCCCUUUGCGAAUUUUUUUUAAAAGCAAAUGAUACUUUUAAUAACAAAAAUGAUUUUUUUCAAAGGGAAAUGAUAUUUGCUUAAAUGCAAAUGAUACCUCGCAAAUGAUAUUUUGUAUAAAAAAAUAAUGAUACAUUACAUGAUAAUUUUAAUGCAUGCAAAUGACACUUUUAGAGAAAAAAAUGACUAAGUUGUNNNNNNNNNNNNNNNNNNNNNNNNNNNNNNNNNNNNNNNNNNNNNNNNNNNNNNNNNCUUAGGGUGUCUCCAACAAUGAUCCCAGUUUCUAGUUUCUAAAUUGCCACAUCACUGCCACAUCAGCUUUAGAAAUUCACCUAUUUUUUUUUCACAUCUCCUCCAACAAUAAACCAGUUUUUUAUUUUUUCAGGGUCCCACCAUAAUACACACUCCCUCUAUAUAUAUAUAUAUAUAUUUCUCAAUUAAUUUUAUUUGCAUUAUUAUUUAUAUACUUUAAUUAUAUUUUUAAAUUAAAAUUCUAUAUUUUAAUUAUCUAAUUUAAUAAAAUAAAUUAAAUUUAAAAUUCUAAAUUAUAAUUAAAAUUACAUUGCAAAAAUUUAAAUUACAUUAAUUGAAAGUACAUAAACAUAAUAAUUCAAACUAAUAUUACUUAAUUGGAGCCAUCUAUGGCAUUGAAUUGUGCCCAAAUAUGUUGUGUCAAAUCAUGUUGAAGUUGGAGAUGGGUUUGUUUAUUUGUUAAAUCGUUGUGAUUUUAGAGAUAAUUUUCAAAUACAAAAAAAAAUAUUGUAAUAAGGAUAUUUAUAUUCUCCCAUUUAACAAGGAAACCAAUCAAAACUAUGUCAUAGGUAUUGGCUAAUUAAUUACUUUACUAGACAAAUAGUUAUAUAUUUUUUUUAUUUGAAAGAAUAAUUUUACCAAUUUUAAUUUCAAGUAGUAUUGUUGGUAUAGAAAUUUGGUGGACAAAUAAAUAGUUUUAUUUUAGAAUUUUAUUUUAUCUAAUACUUAUUUUUAAUAAAAGACAACAUAAUGCAAUUUUGUAAUAAAAAAUUUACUUGACUACUUCUCAAUAGGAGAUAAAAGAAUGUAAUUUUCAAAUACUCCCUUCGUCCCACCAAACAUGAUCCAGUUUUCUUUUUGGAUUGUCCCACGAAGUUUGACCUGUUUCUAAAAAUGGCAAAAAAUUUAUCCUUUAUUUACAUUUUCACUUUUUCACCUACCACAUUUAACACACAAAAUAUCAAUUUCUUAAUUCUCGUGCCGAAAAGAAAUGGGUUAUGCUUCAUGGGACGGAGGGAGUACAAAAAGAAUUGGACAAAUGAAGUUCACGAAAAAUUAUAUAGUAUCUUCAAUCCCUAAUCACUUUUUUUAUAUCCAAUUUUAUCAAAUAAAAACUUGUAUACAAAUGAUAUUAUUAUUCUCCCACUUAACAAGUAAACCAAUCACAUAAUUAAAAUCGGAUUUUAUUAAAAAGAAAAAGGAAAAGCCUAGAAACCCUUGAGAGCACAGCAAAGCUCACUAAGGACCGAGCCUCGUUAAAACCCCUUUAAAGAAAACCCAAAGGGAAAAACCUUAAAGGGGAAAAAGAGUACUCGUCUAAAACCAAACAAACUCGAAACCAGAGAACAAAAAAGCCAAAAAGGAGGGAGAGACUUCAGAAACUCCGGCCUAACCAUCGUCCCCAAGCCUCCCCGGACACCUUCCUGACCCAGAAGAGAAAAAGCCAACAGCGAAAAAACACAAGACAGAACAAGACGCCUGCAAAAAACUCGCUUCCAAGGGCUAACCCCGCAGGAAAGCACAUCGCCGACCAAAGCAGCCUUCCGCGAAAGCGAGAACCAACCAUAUCCCAACAACAAGGGACAUGACGUAUCCAAAGGGAUCCGACCUCCCUCACCCCAGCCUCUAGCGCACCAGAAAACUGAAAAAAGGUCAGAGAGACACCCCUGCCCAUCCAUCUCAACACACCACAACCACCGCACCCCGCAGCAAGAACAAACACCAAGACCAGCAUAGCACGAAAAGAAAACUCGCUUCCAAGGACAAAACCAGCAAGAAAGCACAUCACUGACCAAAGCUGCCUUCCGCGAAAGCGAGAGCCGACCAUAUCCCAUCAACAAGGGACAUGACGUACCCAAAGGGAUCCGACCUCUCUGACCCCAGCCUCUAGCGCACCAGAAAACUGAAAAAAGGUCAGAGAGACACCCCUGCCCAUCCACCUCAACACACCACCACCACCGCACACCGCAGCAAGAAAGAACCCCAAAACCAGCAGAACACGAAAAGAAAACUCUAACGAGCAAUUCUAACAUGGCUAUGAGUAGACAUAUCACGAGAAACCGCAAGCUUGAUCUCAUCAAUAGCAAACGGCCACCAGCCCUCCUGCCUAUUUCCAUUAGCCAUAAUAUCCGCAGGCUGAUUGCCCUCUCUAUAAAUAUGCGUAAACCAAUCACAUAAUCAUUCUGUAGUCACUUGAAAUAUAAUUUGAUUAAUUAAUUAAUUGAUCAAAUAAAUAAUUAUAUUUUUAUUAUCAAAUUAAAUUUUAUCAAUUUUAAUUUUCAAGUAAUAUUAUUUGUAUCGAAAUUUGAUAGCCAAAUAAAUAAUUUUAUUUUUUUAUUUGACCAAUUACCAGUUUAAUACUUCUUCUCAAUAAAAGAUAAAUGAAUGAAAUGAGAUAAAAAAAAAUUGCUUGACUUUUCUUGAAAGAGAUAAAAAGAACGUAGUUUGAUAUUUUAAAGAAACACAUAAAAAUGAGACAAAUGAAAUACAUAAGUUCCAAUUUGAUGAAGCUCUCUCAAGCUUUAGAUGAGAUAAUGUUAUAAUUUAAUUUUAAUUUUCGAGUUUUAUAUGAGCUCACAAGUAAGAGGUGCUCUAUUAAGCUUGAGACAAGAUUAUUAGAAUGCAAUUAUGAUCUUUCAAACUCUAAACGAGAUUAUGUUCACAAGUUAAUUAUAAUCUUUCAUGUUCAUACAUGAUAAUGCUCAAAAUUCAAUUAUAGUUUUUCAAGUUCCAAAUAAGAUAUGCUGAGAAUUCAAUUAUGAUAUUUCAAGUUCCAAAUGAGAUGAUGUUCGUAAGUUAAAGGUGAUUCGUCAAACUCUAGACGAGAUGAUGCUCAUAAGUUAAAGGUGAUCUGUCAAGCUUUAGACAAGGUGAUUCUCAUAACUUAAUUAUAGUCUUGCAAACUCUAAACAAGAUGAUGUUUAUAAGUAAGUUAUUAUCUUUUUUUAAGCUUCAGACGAGAUGAUACUCUUUCAUGCUGCAUACAGGAUAUUCAAAAGUUUGAUGCACAAAAUUCAGAUGUGAUAUUUUAAGCUUCAUGCAAGAUGAUGUCCAAAAGUUUGAUGCUCAAAAGUUAUAUAUGGUCUUUAGAACUCUAGAUAAUGAUAUGAUCUUAUAAGGUCUGUAUGAGAUUAUACUCAGACGAUAGAUGUAAUUAAGUUGUUUCUUAUUUGGGAAUUUAAAAAAAAAUGUAUAAACUGCGGCACAUCAUCAUCUAUCAUAUCAUACAUCAAUUUUACAUUUUUUUUUUCUUUUUGUAAAAUUUUCAAUCUACAUCAACAUUUUAUAAAACUUCAUCAGAUAAAAACUUAUAUGAAAAGAUAUUUUUAUCGCUCCAAUUAAAAUAUCAUCUUGACGAAAAUAAUUGAAAUUAAUAUCAUUUCAAAUAUCAUACUACUAAUUUAAUUUGAUCGACUAAAAUCAAUUAAAGAAAUAAAUUAUAUAAAAAUAAUUUAUAUAUUAUGAUAAUAAAAAAAUAUAAAAUAAUUAUAUAAUUUCCAUAUAAAAUUAUAUAUGUCCUCGUCAAAUUUGAACGGGUUUGAAACUAAUUUUUGGAGGUAUAAUAGCAAAGCAAAAUUGGACAUAUUUAAUGAUAAAUUGCACUGCACAAUUAAAGAAUGAAUAUUAGGUAGGUCGUGGGAUAAGAUAAGAAAGCGGCAACGAAUAAAAAGCAAGGAAUUGCGAAAUGAUUUGUUCGGUUUCGAAAGAGCUAAUUACAGUAAAUAAAAGCCACAUGUCGUAACGGACAAACGUUAUUACGUGUGUGCGUACUAGGUUGUGUCAGUGUGGAUGUAUAAUGUAUUACACUCCUCUUUAACAAUAUUUUUCUCAUUCUUCUUCUUCUUUUUGUGUCAUCUUUCACUCAUUCGCCAUUCUUGCUUUCUUUCUCCCAUCCCAUGCCGCCCUUCUUCAUCACAGGUAACACACCAUUCCUCUUCUUCCUAUUUAUUCUCUCUCUCUCUCUCUCUNUCGGCGAGAUUGGCCUUUGCCUCCAUCGAGCUUUCCUUUUUGAUCACGACUUCUCACGUGAUCCUCCAUUUGAAGCUUGGAUAACAAUAUCGGCACGGACAUCUCCGAGCGCUCAUGACUUCAAAAGGUUUUUGAAAUUUACCUCCAACUAGGAGGUAAUUUCUCUAUGAUGAUUGCAACGAGCAAUGCAUCCGCCAAGGGCAUCCCUUCGGCUUGAACCUCAUGUGAAAGAUUUUGGAACUCUUCCACUUGGUCCAUCAAUGGUCGGGAGUCAACCAUUUUAUAUUCCAACCAUUUGGCAACGACAUACUUGGUAGUAUUCGCCUUGUCCACUUGAUACUUUAGAUCAAGGGCCUCCCACAAUUGUUUCGCGGUUUCAUGAACCUUGAAAACACGGUAGAGCCGUUCGUCCAGAGACAUGAGAACGGUGUUACGGCACAAGUAGUCGCCGCGACACCAGUUCAAAUAUCCGGCACGAAUUUCUUGGCUUGUCUCCCCUUCCCCUUCACUCGGGGUUGGAGGUUUAUCCUCCAUCAAGAAUCCGGCAAACCCCACGGUUGUGAGGUAGAAUAGCAUCUUCUCUUGCCAAUAUUUGAAGUUCUUGCCUGAGAACGUUGAUGGUUUCUCGGCAAGACCAAUAGUUCUAGAUGUUGACGAUGAAGCCCCCGUUGAUGCAAACGAGGAAAAUAUUGACGACGUGGUUGAACCGAUGGUUGCAGAGGUGGUGGAGCCGUCCAUAUUGACGUCGGUGUGAGCCAUUUCUUGAACGUGUAUCAACGGCAGAGAAAAUAAUCUUCUUGCGAUUGUUAGAACCGGGUACACGAUCGAGAUAUUACAAAAUAUUUAUUUUGAGAAAUUACGACUCAAAAUAAUUGAAAUAUUACAAAGUAAAUAAUUUGAGAAAUUACAACUCAAAUAAUUUGAUACAACUGAAAUACACUGUAUAAAUAAAUUAUACGUAUAAACAAAGUCGAGUCGAGAUGAAUCUCUUCCCGCAAGAAGAUUAUCGCCCCGGUAGUGCUCUUCGGUUUGGCGUAUCUUCCCCAAAGGUAAAACGACUACGUCUCGGCGGAUGUAGCACCACAAUCCGGCGAGCUCCGGCGAACUUAACAGGAUCAAGAACUGAGCACAAGUGUUUGCAGAGAGUUGCAGAGAGAAUGGCAGAAUGCAGAAAUUUGUUGGUGUUGUUCGUACUUUCUGCAUGCUCUCCACAAGUCUAUUUAUAGACAUGUGGUAAGUAUGAAUUCAAUACCUUGAAUUCCACUCCUACGGCUGGAAGGUUGAAGAUGUGGCCGGUGGGCGCAGAAGUCGUACUGGCGUGCUGAAGUUGCCAUGCAGAAGUCGUACUGGCGUGCUUCUGCUUCCAGCUUCUGCUGCUGCUGCUGAUUUGUUCUGCUGCUGUGACUGUUGCUGUGGGCUUGGGAAUUAAUUCAGUUGGGCCAAGAAAAUAAUUCUGUUGGGCCAAAAAUUAAAAGCCCAAUGGAGUUGGUCCAAAAAAUAGUUUGGGCCCCAAACACCACCCCAAAGCACCAAUUGCCAAGAUCCAAGUCCUUGGCCGCGGCCCGUACCCGACCCGCCCGUCCGGCGGCGGCGGCGACGUCGUCCGUCCGUCCGUCCGUCCGAUCGAUCGUCGGCGGCGGCGCGCGUGUGUGUGUGCGCGCGAGGCUAGUACUUAGAUCAAGCCCACUAGCAAGCCCACAAGUCAAUUUAUCAACUCCAUGUGCUUUGCUAUUCUUAUACAUGAAAAACAUCUCUAUGUUUUCCAAUGUGGGAUAACAUAACAAAUGUUAUUUUCCCUCUUCAACAUCCAAACUUUGACAUACAAUAUCUCACUCAUCGGAAAUCGGUUUUGAGACUUCAAGUAUAUCACGUUGAUCUACUCAAGAUGUAGAAUAACAUCCAAUCAUUAUUUUAAUUAAAUAAUAAAUAUUUAAUUAAAUAAUAUUUUCCAGAUAUGGCUUUAAAACCAUAUUUCCAAAACCAUAUUUCCAACAUUGCUAUGAUUCACAAUCUGCAAUGAAUUUCCUAUAAGAUGCUAGUGCAGUCUAAAUUUUCUUCCAAUUAUGCACUAGCAAUAUAGUUCUUGUCUGAAUUAUCUUCUUUACUGGUCAUUAAUUAGAUUGCAGAUGAGAGUCUGUCUGUAUUCGGUGCAAGUUGUUGAUUUGCAUCAAGACGGCUGAAUCGCUUCACUUCUGCAGGUUCAUGUAGGACUUGGUAUUUGUUAGAAGAAUCUCACAACUUAUAUCUCUAGUCCAUAACAAUACCCUCAUCUCUUGGAAGCCAAGUUUUACAAAAACUUGCUUUUGUUUAGUUGUACGAAACAAUCUCGAAGAGAGCAGCGCUUGGUUUACAGUUUUGAAACAAUAUGAGGCAAGCAGUAGCCUUCUUCACGGUACUCUUGUCUAUUGGGGGUUUCCUCUUGACAUGUAAUUUUGUGUCUAUGAUUGUACGUUACCAGAAAACCGGUCCUAUAAAAUUGGCAUCCAAUGAGAACCGGAAUAAACUUGUGAUGGAUCCUCUGGUUGAGAUGCCAGAGCAUGUGAAAAGAUCGAGGGUUGAAAGGCGACCUUUUCAUGUCGCCCUCACAGCCACCGAUAGGCCUUACAGCAAAUGGCAGUGCCGUAUAAUGUACUACUGGUACAAGAAGAAGAAGGAUUUGGGUGGAUCAAAUAUGGGUAAGUUCACUAGAAUUCUUCAUUCUGGGAGUGCAGACAACCUUAUGGACGAGAUUCCCACAGUCGUGGUUGAUCCUCUUCCCCCAGGUUUGGACCAGGGUUAUGUUGUCUUAAAUAGGCCUUGGGCUUUUGUGCAAUGGCUGGAGAAGUCGACAAUUGAAGAAGAGUGAGUUUGUUCUCUCUUGAAAUUCAUAGUUGUCUUAAAUAGGCCUUGGGCUUUUGUGCAAUGGCUGGAGAAGUCGACAAUUGAAGAAGAGUGAGUUUGUUCUCUCUUGAAAUUCAAGGUACGAUCAAGUUCAAAACAAUUCCUCAUUUUCUUCUGCUGCUGCAGAUAUAUAUUGAUGGCAGAACCUGAUCAUAUAUUUCUAAAACCACUGCCUAGUUUGGUUUACGAAGAAUAUCCUGCAGCAUUCCCCUUUUUCUAUAUCAAACCUGCAGAAAAUGAGAAAAUCAUUCGCAAGUUUUUCCCCGAGGAGAUGGGUCCAGUAUCAAAUAUUGAUCCCAUUGGAAAUUCUCCAGUUAUAAUUAAAAAGGUGCAUAUAACAUGUUUGUAAUUGUUGCUUCACAUUUGCUUCUCAAAUUGGACUAAGUAAUGAUGUUAUGUGGUCAGGAUUUGCUGGAGAAAAUUGCACCUACCUGGAUGAAUGUCUCUUUGAAAAUGAAAAAUGAUCCGGAGACGGAUAGUACGUUUGGAUGGGUGUUGGAAAUGUGAGCACAUUUUAGAAGCAUCGACUAUGUAGUUUGAGUUCAAACUUGAUUUACCAUAUUUUCUAAGCCUUGUUGUGGUUCACUGUCAAUCAAAAGGUAUGGGUAUGCUGUGGCCUCUGCUCUUCACGGGGUGCAGCAUAUUCUUCGGAAAGACUUCAUGUUGCAGGUUUUGCUUCUCAACCAGAAUCGUUCACGUACCAUUAGGAGGUUCAAAAUCUUAUCUGAUUUAAAUGGCAUUGCAUUCUUAAUUUCAGCCGCCUUGGGACUUGGAAACGAAAAACAAGUUUAUUCUUCAUUACACUUAUGGGUGUGACUACAGCUUAAAGGUAGAGUGGGUUUAAUUAGUUUUUUCUGAUAUUAACAAUAGAUUUUGUAAUGAAAAAAACAGCAAAAUAUUUACAGAACUGCCCCUGAACAUGACAAGGAAAUUGUGGACUUAUUUUUCUUGUUUAUACUUGAGUCUUAUAGACAUGAGUACUUCCAUUUGGAGUAUAGUGAAGAUAAUAAAGCUAUAUAUUUCUUGGUAUACAUUAGAUUUCUCAUGAUAUCGGCCAUGUUCAGGGUGAAUUAACUUACGGCAAAGUUGGAGAGUGGCGUUUUGAUAAGCGAUCCUAUCUUGAUGCACCUCCACCUCGAAAUCUGCCGUUGCCUCCUCCUGGUGUCCCUGAAAGUGUGGUAUGGCAUCAGUCAUUUUCAUGCAAUAAUAUCUUUAAUUUUCUCAAUACUUGAAUUAAGAAAUUUACAAAAUGCAGUGUCCUUAUUUCCCGUUUUUCAUUUGAAUGGUUUCUUUGUUGCUUGUUUGCCAUUGCUCUGAUGCUUAUAUUUAUCGCUAUUCCCUUGUUUCUUGUUUACUUUUGAGUGUAUGCAUUCAAGAUUUCAUCAUACUUGAGUAUAUGAUCAGAAACAAUGAGAUUGAAGACAGAAAAUUAUAGCCAAUUUUUUAAAAAAUCUAUAGAUAACAACAAUGAAUAACCUUAUAGUAUAAGAUAAAUAAAUCUAAACCAAUCAAUGUUGCUUCUAGUUAGAUAUUGCUUAGCUAGUGUGGUAGUUUUCCCUGAAAAUUAAAACAUAAAUUCACAAUGACAUGCAGAAGUUUACUAUCACCGAUUGAUUUCUAAAUCAGUAGCUUAUUUUCUCUGUUUUUUCUCAAUGUGAUACGGUGUUAUUGUGUGGAAAAUUGUUGUUAUAGUUUUAUAGCCAUCACCAUUCCUGCCUGUAGUCACAUCUGAUAUAUAGUGUCGUAUGGAACGAACUUGAUUGGUUCCCGGAAGCCUGGUAGAUCAUCGUUAACAAAAUGAGAAAACCUGAACACGGCAAUAUAAGUGGGGAUUGAGGAAUAUUGCUUAACUAGAAACCAACAAACAAUUAAAUUUUCUCCCACUUUCUUGUUUACUUGCAUCAGAAAUACUAGUAGUCAAAAUCAGGCCAUAUAACUUCCUGAAAUAUCAUGCAUUUUUCUUGUUUCUGAGCCAUAGCCAAGAAGGUAUGUAGCUGCCCGAUUAUUCAAUUGAACCAUGUUCGUCUCUGCAGGUUACUCUUGUAAGGUUGGUGAACGAAGCUACCGCUAACCUUCCCAAUUGGGAAACAACAGAAGAAGUUAAGAAUAACUCUAGUUUUCGGAGAAGUUGACAUCGAUCAACCUUGCAUUUUGGUUCACAAUGGUAAUGUAGGAGAAAUAACCGGGCGUCGAGGCGCAUAGUUUCUGAGUAGCUAUGUAAGGCUUUUUAAGUGUUCUUCUCCACAGUGCUUGCAGUUUCUGAUCAGGUAGCAGCUACAGAUUUUUUUCACUUGGCCGGCCAGUUAGAAUUUUUACUGAUAUAUAUUUCCUUAUUCUAUGUGAAUAUGAAGUGGCCCAUUUAUGUAACAAUUUAAUCUUCGGUUGAUAUAACUUGGUAAGUGUCCAAGUCAUUUUAUUUGAGUUUGUAUGAAUUAUCAUUAUGAGAAUAAUAUAUUGCAUCGCAUGCAUGUUCUUUUGUUGUAUAUAUGUUGUGUUGUGCCUAUAGUGGAGCAAAUAGAGUAAGUGGCCAUUACCACUUAUUGUAAUUUGAGAGUGGUAUGUGUUGUUGUUGAUAGGACAGUUCUAGCCGACAUGAACAAUAUUUUGAAAAAAAAUUAAAAAUAAUAAUAAUAAUCAAUUUUUCCCAAAAAAAAAACAAAUAUAUUUAUUGGGGAAAACAAAAGGCUCUGGGCAAACAAACAGUUGAAAACGACGCUCGGACAGCUCUACAUGUAAUUAGCAGUUACUACUCGUCCACGAAAAAGUGCCCUACUUACCCCUUUUUUUUUAGUCCACGAAAAAGUGCCCUGUUUACCUUUUUGUACAUUCAUACCCUUUACUUUUCAAUUUAUUUACAACUUAUGUCAUUAAUAAAUCCACACUUUUAUUUAAUCUAUGCAAUUAACCCACACAAUUAAUCCCAUUUAUUUAUUUAUUUUCUUAAUUUUCAGUUUAUUUAUUUUCUGAAUUUCAAGUUUAUUUAUUUAUUUAUUUAUUUAUUUAUUUCCAGUUUAUUUAUUUAUUUUCUGAAUUUUCAGUUUAUUUAUUUAUUUAUUUAUUUCCAGUUUAUUUAUUUUCCAUUUUAUUUAUAUAUUUAUUUUCUGAAUUUUCAGUUUAUUUAUUUAUUUAUUUUCUGAAUUUCAAGUUUAUGUAUUUAUUUAUUUUUGAAUUUUCAGUUUAUUUAUUUCCAGUUUAUUUAUUUAUUUAUUUUCUGAAUUUUCAGUUUAUUUAUUUAUUUAUUUAUUUAUUUCCAGUUUAUUUAUUUUCCAGUUUAUUUAUUUAUUUAUUUUCGAAUUUUUAGUUUAUUUAUUUCCAUUUUAUUUAUUUAUUUAUUUAUUUCCAGUUUAUUUAUUUAUUUUCUGAAUUUUCAGUUUAUUUAUUUUCCAUUUUUUUUAUAUAUUUAUUUUCUGAAUUUUCAGUUUAUUUAUUUAUUUAUUUUCUGAAUUUUCAGUUUAUUUAUUUAUUUAUUUUCUGAAUUUUCAGUUUAUUUAUUUCUAGUUUAUUUACUUAUUUAUUUAUUUAUUUAAUUAUUUCCAUUUUAUUUAUUUUCCAUUUUAUUUAUAUAUUUAUUUUCUGAAUUUUCACCUAAUAAAAUAAUGCCAAAUAGUUAGUGCAAGAUUAGUAAAAGUAACCACAAUAUAUUAACACUACCCUUUUAGUCUUUUACACCACCUUUACACCACCUUUUUCAGCUUUCUUAAAACCCGUGCCAGCACCCAAAUGGGACACUUUUUCGUGGACGGAGGGAGUAUAUUUUAUUGAGCAUGUAGUUUUCUGUUAACUUUAGUUGAGUUAGCCUCCCAAUACUAAUCCACCCUCAAAAUUCAUGUUUAGUUUCGCCCCCUUAAAAAUAAAUAGAGAUUAAUGAUAAAUUUUACCCACUCUCGAAAACAAAAAAUACAAAUUAUUUUUUUACCCAUUCUCAAAAAUAAAAACAAAAAAUACCCACUAUAAAAGAAAAUUAUAAAAACUACUCAUUUUGAGCUUGAAAUGACAAAGUUACACUUACUUAAUUCAUAAAAAAUGCUGAAAUCACGAACUUUGCUCGACAUGCUCGACUAAUGCACGCCGAGCAUGUCGAGCAUCAGUGGUAAAUACACUAAUGCUCAACAUGCAUUAGUCGAGCAUUAUGUAUGUGUGAUAAAUUUAUUAAUGGCUCGACUUCUGCGAGUCGAGCAAUAGUGAUAAAUACUCUAAUGCUCGACAUGCUCAACCAUUGCGAGUCGAGCAAUCAAGCAUUUGUAGUCGAUCACUCUUAGAAAAUUAACUAAUGCUCGACAUUUAUCGUUUACAAGUCAAGCAUCAGUGCAAAAUACACUAAUGCUCGAUAUAAGGGCAAAAAUAUCCUAAAUGGGUAUAUUUUUAUGUUUUAUAAAAGGUGGGUAUUUUUUAGGUUUUGUCUUUCAGAAUGGGUAUAUUUGUCCCCAAUAUUUAUUACUACUAAAAAAAUUCUAAAAAUUAUUCAUUUUGAGUUUAAAGAAAAAAUUAUUUUUACUUAGAGCAUCCACAGUGGGGGUGACCGUGAUAGUUGACUUGAUAGAGGGGGGACCACAUUGGGUCAAGGAGGCUGCAGUGGGAUGACAUGAUAGCUGACCUGAUGCUUUUAGUUUUGUAUUUUUAUAUUUUUCAUUUAAAUUUAAUUGCACAAAUUUAAAUAACACAAUUUACUUCAAAUUUAAAUUGCAUUAAUUUUAAAAUUCUAAAAAUUACAUUAAAAAAUUACAUAAAUCUUAAAAAUUUUAAGACAUAUCCUAAAAUAACUAUUCCGUCGCUAGAGGUCCGAAACGUGCUCGAUCAAAUCACGUUGAAGCUGAGCAUGUAUCUGUCUAUCUCGAAAAAUUGCAUUUAUUUGUACGUAUUCCUCGAAGCAAACCGGUGUUGCUCGAGCACUCUCAGACGAGUCACUGUUAGACGCCCCGUGUCCUGCGUCGUCAUCUGUCCAAUGGGCAGCUAUUUCACCUUCUUUCUCAACAAUCAUGUUGUGGAGAAUGAUGCAACACAUCAUGAUUUCCUUGAGAUUGUCGACGUACCAACCCCGCGCCGGAAUUUGAAUGAUUCCUCAUCGAGCUUGAAGCACUCCAAAGGCACGUUCAGCAUCCUUCUGUGCCGAUUCUUGCAUCUUCUUGAACCUCGCCUCCUUUGAUUGGUCGCCAUCGGGACUCUUGACGAAGCAGCGCACUCCGGAUAUAUGCCGUCGCACAAAUAGUAGCCCAUCUGUAGUAGCGCCGGUUAGCCUCAAAGACCACCGGUGCCGCCGUUCCAUCCAACACGUCAGAGAAGAGAGGCAAGUGGUUCAGAAAUUGAUGUCGUUGUUCGAACCAGCGACACGAAGAAGGCAUGCCAAAUCCACAGAUCUGGAUGCAACGCCUCCAAGAUCAAGGUGGGCUCCCCUUGAUCACCGCGUGUAUAUGCGUUGCCACGCCUUUGGGCAAUUCUUCACGCCAAUGCAUACAAUCAAGACUCCCGAGCAUCCCGAAAUCCGUGUCGCCUCGUGCAUCUGAAGAAGGCGUUGGAUGUCCGCCUGCGUAGGACGUCGAAGAUACUCGGCUCUGAAAGCCCGGAUGACUGCCUUGCAGAAUCUCUUGAGGUAUAGACGCCCCGUCGUGUCGGCGACCUUGAGAUACUCGUCGAAAGUAUCCGCACUGACGCCGGUGGCUAAUUGGCUGAAAGCCGCCGUGUAUUUCUGCAAAGGCGUGAGAGAGUCCCGACCUUGUGCAUCAUGGCUCAUCUGGAAAUAAGUAUCUUCACCUUGAAUAGUCUCGACGAUGCGCAAGAACAACUCCUUCUGCAUCCGAAAACAACGUCGGAAAAAUGUAGGCCCGUGCGUCGGAUUGUCGUUGAAGUAGUCUUGCAUAAGACAUAAAUGGACAGCCUCACGAUCACGGUGGACGUAUUGUCGGUGAUGAACAACACGUUUCGGCGCCGGUUGGUAGUACAUUUCAGCAAGCAAUUGUUCCUGCUCCUGGAUCUCAUUGAUGAUCGCUGCGCUACCUUGUCGGAGGAAGACGACGAAUUAUCAUCGAACCAUUCCAUUUUUUGAAGAAAAAGAGAGGAAGAUUGAAGGAGAAAUGGAGGAAAAUUGAAAGAGAGAAUUAUUUGUGUGUGUGAAUAAAGAAAUGAGUGGAUGUAUUUAUAGAAGGGGGGGAAAAAAAGGAAAAGUGGGACAAAAGGCUAUGAAGCCGUUGGCAUUAAAAAAAAAAGAAAAAUGGGGUAAACGCUACUUUGGCCUUUAAAAUUCAAUUUUUUUAAUAGGGGCGCAUGCUAUGCACGCGCGUUCAAAACUGCUAUCAGGCCAAGCCUGAUCUAUCAGGCCUCCCUCGAGUCCCUUGUGGCUGUAUUGGGUAACCCGAUCUUGGGGGUGACUCGGGUCCCCACUGUGGGUGCUCUUAAUAGAUUUGGAUUUCAUCUCAUUGCUUUAUACUCCCUUCGUCCUCAAAAGUUAUGCUCCGAUUUCAUUUUAAGGGGUGUCUCCAAAAAGUUUGCCCUAAUCCCUUUAUUUUCUAUUUUGGUACAUGAUUUCAUCAUCAAAUUUACAAUUACAAUCAUUUAAACAUUAUUUUUUAUGCAUGAUCCCACCGACAAACAAUUUUUUAACAAUUUUUAUUAAAAUCAAUAUCGUUUUCUUUGGAGAGAACUUUUGAAGCGAAGGAAUAUUACUCUAAUUGUGAACUUUGAGUCAAGCAUUAAUAGUAAAUAAAUUAAUAUUUAACAUGCUCGAUCACUAUAAGUCGAACAAUCACUAACUAAUAUUUUCGACAUAUUCAAUUACUACGAGUCGAGUCGUCAAAAUGAAUAGGUAUCAUUUUCACUCGAGUCGAGCAGUCAAAAUGAAUAGGUCACUUUCACUCAAUAAUAAUUUCAUCAGUCAUCGUAACAAUAUGUAUGUAUUUGUUUUCACGAAACUUUUAUUUUCAGGCAAACUUUUAAAUACCCAUUUUUAAUGAAUAAAGACAAAUUUUACCCACUUCUCAUAAAGUAUAUAAAAUCUACCCCAUUGACGAAACAACCAACAUUUUUAAACUUUUUUUUUUUUUUUUAUAUCUAAAAAUCGGAAGGAGAUAUUGCUUUCUACUAUCUUUUCUUUUUUGACACUUUUUAUUUACGUUUGGUUCAGUUUUCAUUAAGGUCAAAUCUGGCACUUCCUUAAAUAUGGAUAGUUUUUAUUUGUUUUAGAAAUGACGAGUAAACUUUUUCUUUGUAAGCUUUUCAUUUUCUUAAACAUAAUCAAUAUUAUUUCCCUCACUUUUUAAGUUGAAAGUGGUGGCCGGGUAGUUUCACUGUAACAUAUAUUACAUCUUUUGUUUUAUGAGUUAGUCGGCAUAGAGCUUCGUCACAAUCGAAAAGUCAUUUGCAUUGACUUUUCAUUUUGUUUUUUAGUAUAAAUAAUUAUCAUCUUUUAUAAACAUAAGUAUUUUAUGCUCAAAUUAAACGAGUAGACUUAAAUACCUUUCGAUGUUGAUAAUUUUUGCUUGACUUUUUGUGAAAAAUCUUAUAUGUUUGAUAUAUUUAAUAGCCAUCAGUCAGAAUAUAUAAGAAAAAUUUGAGGAAAAAUGAACUAUUUAACAAUUAGUAUAAGUCAAAAGUUCAUCCAAAGUUUGUUCAUUUAAUUUUGACAAAAAAUAUCUAUGAAAAAUGACAUUUUUCUUACAACUUAAGGAUUAUAUAUGACAUUUUUACCCAUUAUAUAUAUAUAUAUAUAUAUAUAUAUAUAUAGUAAAAAAAUAUAUAGGGGCGCGCUCCAGUGAGACCCCAUAUUUUUCGUGAAACACUAGGACAAUGAAUAAGACAUAUAAUACUAAUGAACAAAACGUAUAUCUAAUGAACAAGAUGUAUAUACUGAUGAAAAAUAAAAUUUAAAAAAUUCGUAAUGAAUAAGACAUAUAUACUGAUGAACAUGGCCGUAUAUACUGAUGAACAAUGCAGUAUAUACUGAUGAAUAACAAAAUUUAAAAUAUUCUGCUCCCUCCAGGAUUCGAACCCUGCGAAAAAAAAUCACCCUCCAGAUACAAUAUCAGCCAUAGGAUUGAUAAAAUAAACGCACCAGAUCGUGCCCUAGAUCUCACUAAAAUUAGGGGGUCUCAUUGGAGCGGCCCCCUAUAUAUAUAUAUAUAUAUAUAUAUAUAUAUAUAUAUAUAUAUAUAGAUAUAUGAGAUACCACACUUAUAGUGAGAACAUAAGAACCAUUAAAAUCAAUGCAUCUGCUAUAUAAAUUAAUGCAUUCGCUAUUAAAUUUAAUGCAUCCGAAAAUAAUAUAAAUUUUUUGCUCCCUUCAGGAUUCGAACCCAUGAUCUGCAUUCAUCCACCAAGAUGAUGCAUCCACCGUAGAUCUUGAUGAUCGAAUGGCUUAAAAUGGUUCUCUGUUCUAAUUUUAUUUAGUGGUUCUUAAUUAAAAAUCGGGUAUCGGGUAUACCCGAUCAGGUAUCGGGUAUACCCGAAAGGCCGAAAUACCCGAUUUUUAAUUAAGAAUAUUUUAAAUUAUUUAAUUAAAUUUAAUUAAAAAAAACUAGAAAUUAAGAUUAAUUUUCAAUUUUUAAGUUUGACCUACUGCCCCCAAUUCGGUCCUUUCCUUCCACUCCACAGUCUCCACCCGCCGCCCCACUCCAGAAAUCAGACCCCCACCCUGCCACCCAGCUGCCGGCGCCCCUCAUCGGCCGUCGGCCCGUCGCCAUUUCACAGACCCCCAGGCCCACUCGCACCCAGGCCACCUUUGUUCUGUCGUUCCGACGCCGCACGCCCACACCCAGUCGCCCACUCGCUCCCAGGCCCCCCAGUCCCACCGCCGCCACUCCCAGUCGCCCCGUCGUUCCGCCGCCGCAGGUGCGCCGCCCCUGAGUUCCGACAACAGCGAUAUGCUUCUUUUUCUUCUUGUUUUUUUUUUUCUUUCUUUUAUACAGAUUUCUUCUUGAUUCUUGGACUUGGUUCUUCUUGGUUCCAAAUUUGUGUUUAUUCCUUUACGACUUCCUAAAUUUAGGUAAUUUAGGGUACCCGAAUACCCGACUCGAGCGGGUAUAGGGUUUGAGGCUUAUUCGGGAUCGGGUACCCUUACCCGAAAAAAGGGACCCGAUUUCCAGCCCUAACGAUAUUGUCUUUGUAAAAUCCCUAAUAUCGCAAAUGCAACCAACCAUGGCUUAAAUCGCUAGCGAUUUUAGUAGGAAAGUAAAAGUCGCUGAGGAUAUGUAUAAAGGUGGAGAGGAAAAAGGUGAUUUUGAAACUCCCAUAAACCUUUUGGGCAUUGCAAAUAGCAGGAUAAGAUAUGAGUUUACUCUCUUUCCCAUUGCCCUCCGCUCCCAAUUAUUUCCCUUGUAAGUCUCACGGUGAAUGAUUUCUUCGAAUUGAGAGACGGAUUGCUGUUGUAGAUCUAAUUUUGAACUAACUUAUUCAAAAUUCUGUGUGUGCGUGAGCGAGAUUGAGUGCAUGGUAGAACAUUAAAUCAGGUAUAAUGUUGUGGAUGCCCAAUUUCUCAGGUACUAGUCUUGUAAUCUAUCAGUCGCAUGGAUCCAGUUGUGCUCAAACCAGGCCAUCCAAUGCGGCGGCCCGAGGGUACUGAUAAUUUGAGCUCAUGUGUUUAUGAUUUGGGAUAACUUAGAGCUCGCUAGCUUAUGUGCAUCAUCUUUACCUUGCUAGAGAACAGGUUGAGGAGAAGAAAAUGGGGAGGAGGCUCUUCUUCAGUUUCGUUGCUGGAUCGGGAGCCAUGUCUGCAGCAUUGCCAUCCUUGGGGAAGACAAAGAAACCGAGCCCGUUUGAUGAGAGACGCCUACUUGAGCAGAACAGGCGAAUUCAGAGAGAGAAUAACGUGCCUGAUGACUUCCCUAGUUUUCUGAGAGAAGGUUUCUUCUUUUCCUAACCACACUUGUGCCUGUGUAUGUGUAUGUAUGUAUUAAGCUCUUCUUGUAUGCUUCAGGUUUCCAGGUUAAAGUAGUGGCACCAGACUACUAUGUUACGCGUGAUUCAGGCCUUGUGUUGUGGGAUAUUGCACCCGGCCAAGGUGAUUGUCCAAAGGCUGGUCAACAGGUUUCUCUUUACUUUGGAUUGCUUUUCUUCAACUAGUAGUUGAUGUUGAUGUUGAUAUUUCACAUUCAUACAAGUGUUAAUUUUGCCUUAGAUGACUUGAUUUUCAAAUCUCUCUGUGCAGUGAUUUUAGUUCCUAUGUUGCAAUGCUCCGUGUCUUUGUAAUAACUCUCCUCGCUGGCAGGUGACGUUUCACUACAUCGGUUAUAAUGAGUCAGGGCGACGUAUAGACAGCACAUACUUACAAGGUUCUCCUGCCAAAGUUCGACUUGGUACUAACGGAUUAAUCCCAGGUAGCAAGCACAAUUGAGUUUCAUAUGUAUAAGGUUUUGGUUGGAGAGAGAAAGAGAGAGACAUAGAAACUAACAGAGUGCACAUUUGGUGACAGGGUUCGAGGAAGGAAUCAGAGACAUGAAGCCUGGAGGGAAACGGAGGAUAAUCGUCCCUCCAGAGCUAGGUCCACCGGUAAGUCUCACUUUCAUUAUUUUUCUUGGGCUAUAUGAUUUUUAUUUCAUUUAGCCAACACGAAAUAUGGUGCGACAAAACAAAUUGCCUUCUUGCAGGUCGGCCCUUCCACUUUUUUCAGCUCCAAGCAGUUUGAAGUUUUUGAUAUAGAAUUGCUAAGCAUUCAAGAUUGCACGAGGAGGACCAUCGGGUUUUAUUCCGAUGUUGUUUGUAAUUAAGGAGGGAGAAAGACUGUUUUUGAGUUUCUAGUCUUGUAGGAAAAUGAACAGGAGCUCGUAGAGAGACCAAGUGAAAAUUUUCUGAUUCAUUAUGAAUCAAUGUAUGUAAUAGGUGGAGAUGCACGCAACAAAACAAAUCUGUGCAAUACAUUAACUAUUCUCAAUUACAAUAAUACAUACUCGCCAUAAUAUACAGCUCAACAAUACAAUCAUUUAUCUUGUAAUGCAAAACUCACAAGUAUCCUCUUGUUGUAGAGGUUUGCCUGCUUUAUGUUUAAAGGUAACAUGUUCUUUCAUUUGAUGUAAUAAUUAACAUUGUUCUUAAUUGCUUGGGAUGAGAUUAGAUUUCCCUUAAACCUUUCGCUUUCUAGAUAUUGAAAUAAUUUGUAUGUUUGUCAACUUUGUGUGAUAUCUUAUGUCUAGAUAAUUCCCAUCUGCAAGAAGUUGUGAUGUUUUUUGCUUUCAUAAAUAUUGUUAUUGGUUUUCUCAAAGAUACUGUUGCCGACUUGCCGUUGUAAAUACCAUUGUUGGUUUUCUCAAGAUAAUGUUCUUCUGCAAUUAUAUUAUUGCCGCCCAAAAUGACAAUUCUAUUUCUCUUCUGUUUCAGGUUCCCAGAUAAGAUUGGAGGAAACUUGGCAGGAGUUCAUUAUAUUCGGGACGUUGCAGAUGCCAAUUCGCUUAUAUCAUCACUGGUAAUGUGUAAUUGUUGUGCCAACUUGGAAUUAAUAUUACAAGACACUCACACGGUAAAUAUAUUAUAUAAACUUUGAUCAUAUGCAUUGGCUUCACUGCUGAUGUUGGACGAUGCAUGUCUUAGGAGAAAGCAAAGAAAGUCGUCGUCAUCGGUGGUGGUUACAUUGGCAUGGAAGUUGCAGCAGCAGCAGUUGGUUGGAAACUCGAUACCACUGUGAGUAACCGUCAUAUCUCCUUACAGUUGUUGGUUGGGCUUUAUUUUAGUAUACCUCAUUCAGCAAAUGAUUAUUGUUUCAAAGCUUGGUUUCAAACUCAAUUUUAGCUCAUUCAGCUAUCUGAUUUGACAAAUACUGAGCUGAUCCUUUUAUUUUAACUUCAUUCUUCUGUAGUUAAUUCUUCUAUAUAUACCAAUGGUCCAAUCUUUUGACUAUCUAUUAAUGAAUUAUCAGUCCAAAACUUAACAGGGUCUUGGGAAUGUUGCAGUCAUACCAACCCCAUCAACUGAACUCAGUUUCUUUGCUAACUACACCUAUUUUUUUUUGGUUUAUUAAAAUCACGUAGCACAUAUAAAUAUCUUGGACUGUAACUAGGUGAUUAGUUUACUAUAAGUUGCAGGGUUUGAUCAGUAUGUUCUCGGAUAUUGUGUUACUAGGCUUCAUAUGUUUCAGUGAAUGAUGAUGCACCAAAAUAGUUCAGAUACUGUAAAAUGUAAAUAGGCUAUAGCCUCUGUUUUCAGUGGCCUUCCUGUUCCUGGCUUCAGAUUUAUCAGCUACGCGCCUCAUGUAACACCCAUGUGGGAGUGUUUGAUUAGUGAUUAGACACAGAUGCUAUGCUCAAACCUUUCCGCUUAUACAAUGACUGAGAGAGAAUGAUUUGGAUCAAUUUCAUGUAACCAAAAUUAGCUACAAUGACUAGCCUUUCACCGCUUAUCUUUGAUUCUUAUAACAUAUGACGCUUGAAUGUGGUUUUGUAGGAAUUCCAACUGCUUCCUAAACUUGCAAGAAGCCAGCCGUCUGUUGACAUUGCAAAGCUUCGGAAAGCUUCUUCAAUAGAGGAGGCGUUGGAAAUCGCACAAUCUUCGUUACAUGUUGAAGUUAAGGUUUUAGUAUGUUUCAUGUGUAGGCAUGUAGAAUGGAUGUAUGCAUCCCCAGCUCUACCUUACUGUAUAAUAAACUCGGCCCUUCUUUCAGCGAUUUUACCGUCUUUCAUGUUUGUUGAGAAGAAGGUAGAAUUUUGCCUAAUAAAAGUUUUACAUUCUUAAUUUGAAAAUAAACUAUGUAUAUAGCAUGCCACUCUAGGAAACUAUAUUUCUUUACAAUAUUCACAUACGCAACUUAUAACUAAGACGGCGAACUCAAAGACCAUAGAAUUAGUGGACUUGGUCAUGAGCCACACAACAGUGCACAGUUGAUGUGAGACUCUGCCUAAUACUUCCUCUGUUCAUAAAAAAUUUAUCACAUUAUAGACAAUACCGAUUUUAAUAAAAUGUGAGUGAAGUUGUUAGUGAAGUAAGAGUCUCACUUUAAAUAUGAGUGGAGUUGUGUGUGAAUUUUACUAUUAUAAAUGGUACAUUUUUAGUGGACGGAUCGAAAGAAAAUUGUGGCAAAUUUUUCAUGAAUAAAGGGGAAAUGUUUUUUUUUCGGUUAGAAAAAAUAUUAUAAUCAUUAUUGUAAUAUCAUCUCUUCUUUUUUUUUUUUUUUUUUUUUUUUUUUUUAAUCAUGGGCUUAAUUAGUUAAUCCAAAUAUAUUCCAAAGCUAUUGCUAUUUUUCUAUUUAUCUGACCAAUAAAUACUCAAGCUACUAGUAUAAGAUAUUAUGCAAAUCUAACUAAGCAAACAUAUUUCAUCCCGGAGUGUAUCUUUUCUUUUGUUAAAUAUUGAAUUAAACAAAAAUCCUCUCAUGGUGACUUGGCAUGUAUUGUUUUUUUUAGUUUUUUUUUAACCUUACUUUGAAUGUUUUAUUUUUAAACAAUUACUUUAUACUACAUUAAAUAUGAGCUCAUACAUCUUUACAUUACAACCUUUUUUUUCCUAAAUAAUUAAUUUGAAAAUAAAUAAGCCAAAUAAAUUGAGACUGGGAAGUAAAAAGUAAAAAAAUAAAAGAUGGAAUUACCAUUUCAUUUUAACUCCAUUCUUCUAUAUAUACCAAUGGUCCAAUCUUGCCGGUAAUUAAGGCAUUUUCAUUUUUAAAUUACCGCUAUCAUAAUUCUGAUGUAAAAAAAAUCCUCUAAAAAAAUUAGGAGUAUAACAUAAAGAAAGAUUAAAGCGCGCGUACUUUAUUGACAAAACAAACAGGUCAAAUUUCUUAGCAAGAGAGGAUGUUAUAUCUUUCAUUUAUUUAUUUAUUUACUCUAUUAGUUUCUAUAUAUUGGUUAGGAAAAACCGUUUCAUACGUCAAGCAAAAAAAAAACAAAUAAUAAAUAAAACUGUUGCGCUUAGAACGUUGGUUUGUCGCACAAGAAAUUAGUGGUUCAAAGUAUGAUUUAAUUUCUAGUCAAAUCCAUAGUUUGUCUUAAAGACUCAUAGAAUUUUAAGAUAUUAUUAUUCAUAUACGUAUUCCAUUAAAUUAAAAACAAUUAUUCACAUACGUAACAAACUACGUUAGCUUCUUCUUUUUCUUCUCAUUUUUUUUUUUAAAUACAGGACAAGAGUAGGCUAGUAGUAGACUAAUUGCGUUGACUCCCUCGUUGCCAUUUAUUAGAAGAUGGUUAAAAGUAUGGAUAUUAAUUUGUAAUAGAGACAACUAUGUAGUAUUAAAUUCCAAACUUUGGAUAUUAUAAAUUGGGAUUUUGGCAAAUAAAAUCAUGAACUAUUUCGAAUUUAUAAUUUUAAUGUGAUUUUUGAAGUGUGGCAAAUUAAAUCAUCAUCUUUUUAACUUUUGCAAUUUCAUCCCCCCAAUUUUUUUUGAUCGUCGGAUUGUUGAGUUAGAGUUUAUGUGGAUUAAUUUGCCACAUAAUAUUCAUGUUACGAUAUUAUUUUCUAUAAAUUAAAAUUGCUGGUUAUUGAAAAUUAUGGUGCAAAUAUAGGAUACAAUGCCUUUAUAAUUUGGAGAAAUUUUUAGUUGAAAUUGUACAAAACGACAUCGUUUAUGCCUAACAAAAACGACAUCGUCUUUACUAAUUCACGUGAGCUUCAAUUCAACAUUCUGGCGACCGAAAAAAAUCAGGUGGACGGAAUUGUAAAAAUUGAAAAGGUGGUGAUUUAAUUCGCCACACUUCAAAAGUCACGUUAAAAUUGCAAAUUCAAAAUAGUUCGUGAUUUUAUUUGCCAAAAUCCCUUAUAAAUUUGAUUCAAACUUUAAACUGUUAUACUUAAGACUUAAUUUUAUAAUUUUGUAGUAAAUUACACCUCUUAACUUUUUAGUAUGAGAUUGGAGCUGAGAUUAAUUUUGAGACUUGUGAAGAUGGUGUCUACAAAAUAUGCUUAAGUUCAGGGACCGAUAUGCAAAAUAAGGUUUGCAUGGUAAGGUAGUUAAGCAUCGAGUUUUGAUCUGCUGCUUCUGUUCCAUAUUGUUCAAAAUAGUUUAGCAUAUAAAUUGUAUUUUUCGUUCAUUCUUUGUAAUCAAUACGCAUGUGAGAGAAGUUUGAGAGAGAGAAUAGUAAGAGCAAGAAGAAAGAGUUUCAAGCUAGGGUGAUAUAGUUUGAGUGGAGAGUUCUUUCAUUUGUUCUUCAAGAUCUUGUAAUCUCUUCUGCAUUAUCAAUAAUACAAUCCGUUUAUCCUUCAUGGGCGUAGGCUACGGCCGAACCACGUAAGCUCCGGUGUCAUCUUGUUUGUACAAUGUGUGUGUAAACUAUUGUGUGUGUUGCUCGAGUGUUUGUUGCGAUUACAAAGAUUCAUCCAGUGUCGAUUUUCAACAAGUGGCGCCUUCUGUGGGAAGAGGAUCGAGAUCAGUGUGAUUUAGAUGGCGACAACAAAGUUCGAGGCGGAGAAGUUCACCGAAAAGAAUGAUUUCGGAUUGUGGCGGUUGAAGAUGAAAGCCAUGCUAAUUCAGCAAGGGCUUUUCGCUGCGCUGCAAGGUGAGAAGGCACUGCCGGAGGAGAUGAAGAAAACAGACCGAAUCAUCUUGAUGGAGAAAGCUCACAGCGCUGAUUCUUUACUUGGGAGAUAAGGUGUUGAGAGAGGUUUCGAAAGAAACUACUGCUACAGGCGUUUGGGCGAAGUUGGAGGAUAUCUAUAUGAAGAAAAGCCCCAGUAAUCGUCUGUACAUCAAACAGAAAUUAUAUUCUUUCAAGAUUAUGGAAGGAAAAGGCACAGAAGAUCAAAUUGAGGAUUUCAAUAAGAUCUUCGAUGAUCUUGAAAAUAUCGAAGUUAAAUUUGAGGAUGAAGAUAAGGCAAUCAUUUUACUCAAUGCAUUGCCUAAAUCUUUUGAAAACCUCAAAGAUGCCAUGCUAUUUGGCCGUGAGAAGACGAUUUCUCUUGAAGAAGUGCAAUCUGCUCUCAAAACUAAGGAGUUGCAGAAGAGUUGUAUGUCUAAGCAAGAAGCCCCCACUGGUGAAGGACUAUCCAUAAAGUCAAAACCACAAAAGGGGAAACCCAAGAAGCAAGCAUAUAAUCCCGAGAAAACUACUCAAGAUAAAGCAAAAGACCCUACUGAAAAAUAGACCAGAACUUGCCAUUUCUGUGAAAAAGUGGGUAAUCUCAAGAAGAAUUGCUUAUCAUGGAAAAAGAAGCAAUCUACUCAAUCUCAGAAAGCUGAUUAAGCAUAUUUGGUGGAUAACAUUGAAAAUGCAAAAGUGUUGAAUGUUGUUGACUGCAGCAAAGAUGGAAAAUAGAUUCUUGAUUCUGGAUGCAGUUUUCACUUGACAUCUCAUCAGGAAUGGUUUAUCAAUCUGAGAGAAAGUGAUAGUGGUCAAGUUUUACUUGGAAAUGAUCAAACCUGCAAAGUCAAAGGCAUAUGAGAUAUCAAGUUGAAGCUAAUAGAUGGCUCAUUCAAGAUCCUGUCAAAUGUGAGGUACAUCCCUGAACUUAAAAGAAAUUUAAUCUCUCUUGGUUUACUGGAAUCAAAGGGGUAUGAAUUUCUGUCAAAAGAUGGUAUUAUGCAUAUCAUGAAAGACAAUAAAGUAAUUCUUAAGGGAACUAGAAGGCAGAGUCUUUAUUAUCUAGAGGGAUGUACUGUGGUAGGAGAUUGUGAGUCUAGUAGUCAAGAUCUAUCUGAGCUAUGGCAUCUAAGGCUAGGGCAUGUUGGAGAGAAGGGCAUGAAUGAGCUGCUGAAACAUAGCCUUAUAAAAAAUCCUUACAAUUCAAGGUUGAAGAUUGCAUACUUAGCAAAAGUAAGAAACAACCUUACGGAAAUGAUAGACAUACCUCUAAAGCUCCCUUAGAUUAUGUAUAUUCUGACUUAUGGGGGCCAGCUAGAACCAUGAGUAAGGGUGGAGGUAGAUUUUUCAUGAGCAUCAUAGAUGAUUACACUAGAAAACUAUGGAUUUAUAUUCUGAAAAGUAAGGAUGAGGAUUUCCUGAAAUUCAAGGAGUGGAGUACUGAAGUUAUGAAUGAAAAAAGUAGAGGGAUAAAAUACCUUAGAACUGACAAUGGCCUUGAAUUUCUAUCUAAGGAAUUUCAUGACUACUGUGUAGAGAAAGGCAUUAAGAGACAUAGAACUGUACCAUCUAACCCACAACAGAAUGGUGUUAUAGAAAUGAUGAAUAGAACUAUACUAGAGAGGGUUAGGUACAUGUUGUUAAGCUCUGGGUUGCCUAAGGUUUCUGGGGGGGAAGCUAUGUGUACCGAAUCAGUUUUUAUAAAUAAAUGCCCAUCAUCUGCCAUAGAAUUCAAAACUCCUAAUGAGCUUUGGAAUGAUAGUCCACCUGAUUAUUCUUACUUAAAACCUUUUGGAUGUAGAGCCUAUUCUCAUAUUAAGCAAGACAAGCUUGACUCUAGAGCCUUAAGGUGUGUAUUUCUAGGAUAUCCUAAGGGUUUUAAGCUCUGGUGCACAAAGCCAGGUAUGAACAAACUUAUAAUAUCUAGAGAUGUCACUUUUAAGGAGGAAGUACUGCCAUAUCUGUUAGCCAAAAACGAGAGACCUAUCACUGAUAAAAACACUAAUAGUACUAUAUUUGAGGUGGAGCCUCUUAGUUAAGAACCUAGAAAUGAGUCAGAUGAGCAAUCAGGAGAUAGUGAUUCUCAACAUGAGCAGGAGGCUGCUGGAUUAUCUGAUUACAUGUUAGCUAGAGAUAGACAAAGGAAAACUAUACAACCACCCUCAAGAUAAAGAUAUAGUAAUGCUGAUUUUCUAGCCUAUGCCUUAAAUAUAGCAGAGGAAUUAGAAUAUCAAGAACCAAGUAAUUUCUCAGAAGCUAUGAAAAACAGAGAAAUGGAUCAAUGGAUGAAUGCUAUGAAACAUGAGCUAAAUUCAUUAACUAAGAAUGGUACAUGGAUCUUAGUGAAUAGGCCAAAACACAAGAAACUAGUAAGCUGCAAGUGGAUUUUCAAAAGAAAACUUGAAGUUACAGAUAGAGAAUAUGUUAGAUACAAGGCUAGACUAGUAGCUAGAGGAUUUACACAAGAAGAGGGUUCUCCAAGCGAGAGGAAGAGGCCUCAAGACCCCAAAUCCAAUGCCACAACAGAUGAAGAUAAGGAAAUCAUUUUACUCGUAUUGCCGCAGGAUAUCUUUCACCACCUCAAUCUCAGUCUGGUUAGCCCUACCAAAGAUAAUGCAAUCAUCGGCAAAAAGGAGAUGAGACACCCGAGGGGCCGUGCGGCAUAAAUGCGCCCCGUGAAUCAGAGAACGAGUAUCAGCCCGCCUCAAGAGCCCAGAUAAAGCCUCCGCACAGAAUAAGAAGAGGAAAUGAGACAAAGGAUCCCCCUGUCUCAAACCUCUGCUGGGCACAAAAGAUUCACCUGGAAAGCCAUUAACAAGAACACGAAAGGAAACCGACGUAACACAACACAUAAUCAGAUCAACCACAGGAGAAAGAACCCAACUGACAUAACAUAGACUCCAAAAAAUUCUACUCAACUCUAUUAUAGGCCUUAGCCAUAUCAAGCUUAAAAGCAAACCCACCCCUAGCUCUAGCCUUACUAAGCUUUAUCAUAUGGAAUAUUUCAAAAGCUAGCAAAGCAUUAUCUGUAAUCUGUCUACCCGGAACAAAAGCAAAUUGACUCUCAUGAAUGAUGGAUGGAAGAAUAUAUAGAUUUCAACCUAUUAGUAAUGACCUUUGAAAUAAGCUUGUAAACAACGUUACAAAGGCUUAUAGGCCGAAAAUCAACAGGAUGCAUUUUUUUUUCUUUUCGGAAUCAAGCAAGUGAAGGUGCAUUUUAAGGACUUGGGACUAUCACCAAGAUUGAGCACUCUAUGAACCAUAGGAAUAAAAUCGUACUUAACAAAAGACGAGCAGGAAGUGAAAAACAAGAUAGGCAUACCGUCGGGCCUCGGAGCCUUUAAAGGAUGCAUUUGGGAGAGGGUCUGGGUGACAUCCUCGCUCGUGUACGGAGCAGCCAUAAAAAUGUUCAUCUCGUCAAUGACAAUAGGAUAGGGUCAAUAGAGCUAAGAGUCUCCCCGGCAUCAUGAGAGGGACCAGCCGUGAAUAGCGCACUGAAGUAAGACCUGAAAAUCUCGUCCAUGUAAGCUCUUUCGAAUAAGGGUACCAUCGGCCUUUUAGAUCUCACGAAUGUAGUUCCGUUUCUUUCUCCCCUCCGCCACCUUAUGAAAAAACCCUGUAUUAGUCGGCCCUAGACCUCUGUUUCUACAUGAGCUCUUCUUUAGCUAAUAAAUCAUCAAGCUCCUUCUCGAUUUGUCAUUGUUCCUUGGAAUCAGGCUCGUUGUGAGCUUUCUGUAAGUCCGCCAGAUCUUCCCGAAGCUUGGCAGUCAUUUUUUAGACAUGCCCAAACUCAUGUUUCUCCCAAUGUUUUAGCUCUUUACCCAUCACCUCAAUCUUUUCCUGAAAAUCGCUAGCUGAGGAGAUAGCAGCACCUUUCUCCCAUAAUUCCUCACACAACCGCUUGCAUAUGUCAUCUUUCAUUCACAUCGCCUCGAACCGAAAAGGUUUUGGGUGAUUUUGAUUAUCCUCCUCCGAUUUAGUCAACGCCAGUAGAAGAGGACAGUGGUCACUAGACUUUCUCAGCAAGUGAGUCACUUCAUAUCCAGGAAACGAAUUAAUCCAAGAUGAAGACCCAAAAAUCCUAUCAAGCCGCUCCAAAAUGUUAUUCGAACCCAAUUGAUUAUUAGUCCAAGUGUACGACUCUCCCGUAAAACCAAGAUCAGUGUAGAGCAUAAUUCAAUCACCUCCGGGAAAGCUUCCAGCCUAGAGUCCAGUUUUGAAUUUUCCCCUCUUUUUUCAUAAUGAUAAAGAGUCUCAUUAAAAUCUCCCCCAAAAAUGAAGUUUUCUACCACAAGAGGGGGGAUCUGUCCCAUGAGAUCCCAAGUAAGGCCAUGCUCAGUCGUGACACUCCAUCCAUAUAUCCCUCCCAAGUCCCAAUUCAGAUGGAGUCCAUCGUCUAUCGAAGCCAAGAUAUGAUUUAUUCCUGACUUAAUAGUUAUCUGACCACAGUAAACAGAGUUCACACCGCCUUCUUCUAGCCGUGAUAUCACAAUCCAUCGCAAAAAACUGAUCAAAACCAAUCUUACCAAGUAUGGGAUUCCACUCUUCGACAUACAAUUUUGUCUCCAUGAGGAACACCACAUCGGGCCGUUUUUGCUUGGCAAGCCAAACCAGUUGUUGAAUUGUCGACGGGUUCCCAAGCCCUCGACAAUUCCAAAAGAGGCAAUUCAUUGUGCCUGGCGGGAUUGCUUUGAAGCAAUCUCUGCCGAUAGUACAGAAGAGGAGGAUAGGUCAUCGAUGAUGGUACUUUUAAGUCGUUUCUGAACCAGCUCAAUCGCCACAUCUUUGACAAGAGAAACAACACCCUCCAUCUUGCGCGAAUGCCAUUUUCUAAGAGAAUAGGGGGUAGAUUUUGUGGUGUCUUUCUGAGGGUGUGAACUUGGUGCACGUGGGCGCCACGUCCAAGUUCUAUGUUUGGCAGAAAUAGCACUAGAGAGAGGGUUUUGAAGAUGCGGAAGGAUAUUUAGAGGUGAGCUUUGGGAUAAGUGUUUUAUGUUGAGGAGUUUGAGAUGGUCAUGAGUUGGAGUGAAGGGAGCUUUAGUGUCAGUAGUCAUAUCUGUAAGAUGGUGUAAAUGAGGUGGGAUCGUAAUAUGUAAGGACUCGGAGAAGCUGGGAUGAGAUGGAAUGAGAGAAGCUUUAGUAUCAGUGAUCAUAUCUGUUAUGUGCUGGAGGGUAGAUGGGAUCGUAGUUUGUGUGGAAUAAGAGAAGAUGGGGAGAUAAGGGCUCUUGCUGGUAUUUGUAGCAGAUGGGUGAUGUGAGGUUUGGGAUAUAGAUUGGAGGAAAAGAGCAAUAUCAGGCAGGAAGGAGUUUUGAGGAGUAGAGGUCAGAUUAUGAUAAUUUUCGGAGAUCUGUGGGAAAUGAAUAGAAGAAGUCGAGGAAUAGUUGGGGCCGGUAUGCUGAAAAGUUUGGUAAAAGUGCGGGAGUUUUGAACUUAUGGACUAAGGUAAUUUAGCAGCAGAUUGGACAGGGCCAUGAAGGAUGACAUCUUCAAAGUCGGAGCAAUUGAGUGUAAGAGGGUGAGGAGGUUCCAUUGCUGGAGGGUUGUAGGAUAAGGGUGGGGGCCUUGCGCGACGGGAGUGGGGGUGUUGGGGCCAGUUCUGGGCAGAGUUGGGAUGAUGUUGGUGUCCCGAGGGACGGAUGCGUUUGAGGGGGAGGCUUUUAGAGACGGACCAUAAAGAAGAUCAUCAAAAAAAAUUCCGUUUUCAUCAUCUUCUCUUUCUUGCUCACAAGCUCAGUGUGGUAACCUAGAACUUCGCAUUUGUAGCAAAAUAUGGGUAGGUUCUCAUAUUUCAAUGGAAUCCACAGACUCUGGCCUUCAAACAGACUUGUAACAUCAAAUCUCACUUUGAAUCUCGCAAAGCACCCCGAGUAGUUUGUAACCAUGUCAAUCUCCUCCAUCGAACCAACUUGAGCAGCGAUAUUUCUAAUAAUCAUCGGGUGAGUCAAGCAUCUCAUGGGGAGAUCAUAUGCCCGAACCCAAAAACUGCCAUGAACAAUGUUGAUAUUUGAUGGUUGAGCAGUUUCGUCCAGUGGCGCAAUGACGAAAAGAUGACCAUCAAAGUGCCAUGGUUGUCGUUUAAGGACCCAAUCGCGAUCUUCGUUGCUGGAGAAAUUGAAGAGGAACAAGUUCUUUCUCCAUUCACGGGUCUCACACUCCACUUUCGUCUUCCAGGCCUUCUUCAUGAUUUCAAGGAGGUGGAAUCCAUUAGGGUUUUGGGGCAUAUCAGCCGCCCCAUCAAACAAUGAGAGAGUGGCUCAGAUUUGGAAUUGUCAUUGGAAAGAACUCUCGACAGAUCAAGAAUCGCGAUCUCCCGUUCAAUGCGCUCUACCGGCUCAGUCACCGGCCCAGGAUCCCGUGAGGAGCCACCUUUCUCCAUACCUGCAAGACACAAACGAGACAAAAGGCAAACAACAAACAACACACACAAAACUUAGGGAAAACCAGACAGGGAAAGCAAAGACCGGAGGGAAAAAGAAGGGACAAGAGAAAAGAGACGGACACGCCGUCGACGAGGACUCAAAAAGAGGACGGAAACCCUAGACUCCUAGGGAACAAAUUUUUUCUUUGAAAGAUUGACUUUUGUUAACCUACAAUAUCACGAUUUUAUUACCUAGCUAAUUAUUUUAAUUAUUUCUUGCAAAAUAAUUUUUGUUAAUGAAUAAAAUAAAAAAAUUCACAAUUUUAGCUCAUGUAUAUAAUAUAUAAAAAUGAGCUUUUUUUCACUCCAUUUAUUCCCUCCCUUUUUUUCUCUCUUCUCCCACCAAUUUUUCCACUAUUUUUAUUUAUAUUCCUGCAAUUUUUUUCUCUCUUCUUUUUUUAAUUCUUUUAUAAACAUCGUUAAAUUUGAUUCAUGAAAAAAAUAUUCAAUAAUAAUUUUAAAUUUAAGUUCGUGACGAGAUUUUAGAUAUAUUAUAAAAAUCAUCAAAAAUGAAUUUAAAAUGAAUAAAUUAUGAAAUUUGUAAAAUUUAAAAUAUUUUACUUUCUCUCUCUCCAUUAUUUUUUAUAUUUUUUUAUUAUUUAUGUUUGUGUAUGAAAAUAUUUAUUUAUUUUUUAUUCUAUUUAAUAUUUAUAAUUAUUUAUUUAAACAUAUAAAAGAAUUGAAAAAUAAAUUUAUUCAAAAAAAGAUGAGAGGGGAGAGAGGAGAGAGUUUUUUUUUUCAAAUUUUAAUCUUUAAAUAAAUAUAAAUUUUACAUUUUAAAUAUUUUGAAUAUUUAAGAUUAAUCAAAUCAUUAUAAUUGUGUAUCAAUUAUAAUCCCAUCAAAUUGAUUAUAAAAUAAUCACAACACUCUAUAAUUUAAGGUAUUAGUUAAUUCUUAAUCUCUUAUAUAUGUUAUAGAGUAAAAUUUUGGAAUAGCCAAAAUGGAUCAUAAAACACAAAUUAUGGCCACUCAUUGAAAAAACAUAAAUUUUGGCCAUUUUUAUAGCUUUGGGACGUUUUUGCCCUUAAUUGGGCGGACUGGGUAGGGUCAGAAGCGCGGGUCGCGUGCCAGGUAGAAUCAGGCACGCGGGUCGGGUUAGGCGCUUAUGGCACUAUUAGUGCCAUAAGUGCCAACGAAUUUUUUUUUUACUCCCCCUGCCCUGUCUACCCCCCCACGACCCCCCGACCCCCACCCACCCCCAAGACCAAAACAAAAACAAUUUACUCCCCCUAGAUAAAAAUAAAUCAAAUUUUACUUUUGUUAUUUUAUUUUAUGGCACUGAUAGUGCCAUAAGUGCCAACGAAAAUCCAAAAUAAAAUAAAGUAAAAUGGUCUUUUUAGCACUUAUGGCACUAUUAGUGUCAUAAGUGCCAAACAUGCAGAACAAAUAUAGAAACAACAGCGUCAUCUAAACCCUGAAUGGAACAUUUAAACCCUAAAUGAAUAAUCUAAACCCUAAAUGGAAUAUCUAAACCCUAAGGGAAGUGUUUAAAAAGUUUCUUUUGGCUUGGGGGUGGGUGGGGUACGGGGGUCUGGGGGGGUAGACAGGGCAGGGGGGAGUAAAAAAAAAAACUUNAGUAAGUUUUACGGUCUAUAAAUCGUACGCCCCUUUUCUUCCCCUUCUUCUUUAACUCCAUCCCUAGUCGUAGAUCACUCGGCUUAACUAUCUUUAGUUAGGGCGGGCUGUGACAGUUCCAGAUAUGAUAGAUUACAAGAGAACUUAGUCUGCAGACGAACUUUAAGAAUCACAAAUGAUCUUAGUAAGAUUGGGCCUUUUUAGCGAAAAAACUCCCUUGCUGUACUGUUUAUGAUGGCAUGACAAUUUACAGUUUUGAAACAUGUAUUUUUAUACCUAGGCAUACGUGCCCACUGAGUGCUUUUGUACUCAGCCCUGCAUAUGUUUUCUAAAUGUGCAGGUUGAGCUGAUGUGAUGAUGGUGUUGCAAUGAGCGGAGUCUCCAGGGUUGUUAAUAAAUAGUUAACCUGUCUAGAAUAUGUCUUCAUACAUAUGUCUAGCUACUUUCCGCUGCAAGAUGUUGUUGAUGUUAUAGUAUGUUAUGUCAUACUUUGAGUCUUAAGAGAAUGGUUUCAUAUGAUGUCUAACUUGAUUAAUGAUAUUAAUUAAGUUUUAUGCUGUCUUUCAUAGACUGUUUUCAAUUGAGUAUUAAUGAAUAAAAAUGACGAGUUUUAUUAAGAUGAGUAAGUUUUACGGCUAUAAAUGACUCCCCUUUUCUUCCCCUUCUUCUUUAACCCCAUCCCUAGUCGUGGAUCACUCGGCCUAACUAUCCCUAGUUAGGGCGGGCUGUGACACAACAUGAAUUAAAAAAAGGAAAAAACUAAGUAAAUAGGUACUUUGGACACAAAUGACAAUAUUAGUGUCAAAAGUACCAAUAUAAAUUAAAAAAGACCAAGUAAAUUGAUACUUUUGGCACAAAUAGUAAUAUUAAUGUCAAAAGUAUCAUUCGAUGAUUAAACCCUAAAUGAGGAAUCUAAACCCUAAAUGGAGAAUGUAAAUCCUAAAUGGGGAAUCUAAACCCUGAAUGAGAAUCUACCUAAAUGGAGAAUAUAAACCCUACAGGGAAGUGUUCAAAAUGGCCAUAUAACUGCACUCAUCUAUAUAAGACAAGACAAUGUAUCAGCACAAGUAUAUGACAUUAUUGGCACUAAUAUGAUCACCGGUACCAUUCGUGCAUGACAGUUUUGACACUAAUAGUGUCAAGUGUACCAAUUUAUUUGAAUUUUUUUUUUUUUCUUUCUAUUUUUGGCACUAAUAGUGCCAAGUGUACCUAACCCGCGCGCAAACUCGAAUCCGGUCCACCCUAAUUAAGGGCAAAACAAUCCUAAAACAUAAAAAUAAAUGAUCAGAUUUUAUAUUUUUCAAAUUAGUGGUCAAAAUUUAUAUUUCCUUCUUCAAAAUAGGCCACACGAAUACAUUGUUUAUUAUAUAAAAAAUAGCGAGCUUAAACAUUCAAUAUAAUGUUGUAAUUACUAACAUGGCCAGGCAGAUAUAUUGUUUCUAACGUUACUAAUGCAGCUACCCUUGUAAUUAACAUCCCUUAGUAGUACUCUUGCAGGCUAUAUUCAAACAAGCAUCUCACUUUUUUUUUAAAGAAGAAUGCAACUUGUGACAAAAUGGGAGUGUAGUAGCUAGUGCGUGUCAUCCAAACAAUUAAGAAAAGUACACUACAUCGUUUGACCCCAUUUAAAAUUCCAAACACGUUAAUUUGGUACCUAAUAUUUGACAUUCAAAUUUGUUUGUUCUCAUGCACAUUGUCUAAAUAAAAUCUGUGUGAAGCAGACUGAUCAGAAACUUGUGGAAAGUGAGACUUUUUUUUUAUAAAAAAAAAUAAUAAUCGGAAAUCAUAUAAAACAAUAAGCAUAAAAUCCCACCGCUAUUUUGACAAUAUGACAAUAACAAACUAAAAAAUAUUCUCCAAUCUGAAAAGGGCAAUGGGCUAACAAAUGGACAUGUGACUAGGGGGUGUACAAAGUAUCGGCCGAUCAAACAGAUUGAAAAUAGAUUGAAUCGAUCAAUUUUCGGUUAAUUUUAAAAUAAUUGUCUAUCGGUUCAAUUUUUUUAAUAAAAUUUUAGAUCACUAGGGGGUGUUUAAAAAUCGUAUUGCCCCAUCAAACUGAUCGAAAAUGGAUUGAAUCAAUCAAUUUUUGGUCAAUUUAAUUUUGACCUAAUCGAAAGAUAGUAUAUAUUAGUCCUGCGUGUUUGAUAUUGGCUAAUACAUUGUAUUAACUAAUUUAGUACAGAACAGUCUAGUGUUUGGUAUUAUUUAGUAAUAAUGCGGAUGAUCCGGUUUAAUCCCACGACCCAGUAUUAUUAAUCCAGAUUUCUUAGGAUUAAUAAUACCACCUCCCCCUAAGAUUAACUUAAACCAGGAUAAUCUGUAUUUAGUCAUGAUAACAAACACCAACUCAGUAUUAAUAGUCUGUCAUUAUCCACGCUAAAUAUCUUGGUUACAAAUUAUCCUACAGAAUCCUUUACUAAAAACCAAACGAGUUAGUGACUUAUUUUUCUAAAUCCUAAUUCUCUCUUGCCUCACUUAUUCUCUCUCUACUUAGGCCGCACCUCACUCAUUCUAUCUCCCCUCUGCUCCCCCCCUCCCCCCGUGCCAUUUCGUCUCCCUCUUUUGUGUUUGACUCUCUUCCUCACUCAUUCUCUUUCUCCUCUGCCUCUAUGUAUUGCCGACGCCGUUUCAUCUUCAUGUCUCCUCCUCUGUGCAGCCUUUCUUCUCGCUCCACGCCAACAGCAUCUCCUAUCUCUCUAUUAUAUUAUGUGUUGAAUUUGACGGCUUAUUCUCCCACGCAGUCCGCGCUACUCUCCCUUCAUCUCUCUUAGGUCUUCUUCUCCUUCCGUAGUCCAUGUCGCUCUCUACUCAUGUCGAUCAACCGAUCAAAAAAUCAACUAUAUUGUCGGUUUGAUGUUUGGUUGGUCGGUUUGCCCAAAAUCAGUCGGUUCGGCUCACAAAGACUGCUAACCGUCGUUAUCCAAUUCUAGCUUUUUGGGUUGAUUGACCGACCGAACUAACCGAUUCACAUCCCCACAUGUGAUCGCGUAUUUUUUUUUUUAACUUACAUCCUCAACACUCCUAUAAAAAUAUAGGUGACAAAAAAAAUUCUUCACCUCUUAACAAUCAUUUUAUGAUAACUAAUAAAAUAAAGGGGUUAUUGCCGGAAAAUACAUGUAGUUUGUCGAUUUUCUGAUUUAUAACAUGACUUUAUAAUUUGACCAGAAAAUACAUCAAUUUUCAAUUUAAUCGCAAUUAUAACAUGACUUUAUAGUCUGACAAGAAAAUACACCAAGUUUCAAUUUAUUCUCAAUUAUAACAUGACCUUGUAAUUAAUUUAGUAGUAUAAUAAUAUCAAAGUUUAAUAUAUUAAAUAUUUUUAAUUUUCUUUUCAUCUCACAAUAUACUAUAUAUAUAUGUAUAUAUAAAGAGUAAAAUUUUGGAAUAGCCAAAAUGGAUCAUAAAACACAAAUUAUGGCCACUCAUUGAAAAAACAUAAAUUUUGGCCAUUUUUAUAGCUUUGGGACGUUUUUGCCCUUAAUUGGGCGGACUGGGUAGGGUCAGGAGCGCGGGUCGCGUGCCGGGUAGGAUCAGGCACGCGGGUCGGGUUAGGCACUUAUGGCACUAUUAGUGCCAUAAGUGCCAACGAAAUUUUUUUUUUACUCCCCCUGCCCUGUCUACCCCCCAGACCCCCGACCCCACCCACCCCCAAGCCAAAAACAAAAAACAAUUUACUCCCCCUAGAUAAAAAUAAAUCAAAUUUUACUUUUGUUAUUUUAUUUUAUGGCACUAAUAGUGCCAUAAGUGCCAACGAAAAUCCAAAAUAAAAUAAAGUAAAAUGGUCUUUUUAGCACUUAUGGCACUAUUAGUGUCAUAAGUGCCAAACAUGCAGAACAAAUAUAGAAACAACAGCGUCAUCUAAACCCUGAAUGGAACAUUUAAACCCUAAAUGAAUAAUCUAAACCCUAAAUGGAAUAUCUAAACCCUAAGGGAAGUGUUUAAAAAGUUUCUUUUGGCUUAGGGGUGGGUGGGGUCGGGNCAGAACAAAUAUAGAAACAACAGCGUCAUCUAAACCCUGAAUGGAACAUUUAAACCCUAAAUGAAUAAUCUAAACCCUAAAUGGAAUAUCUAAACCCUAAGGGAAGUGUUUAAAAAGUUUCUUUUGGCUUAGGGGUGGGUGGGGUCGGGGGGUCUGGGGGGUAGACAGGGCAGGGGAGUAAAAAAAAUUUUGUUGGCACUUAUGGCGCUAAUAGUGCCAUAAGUGCCUAACCCGACCCGCGUGCCUGAUCCUACCCGGCACGCGACCCGCGCUCCUGACCCUACCCAGUCCGCCCAAUUAAGGGUAUAUUAGGCAUAUUGCCUAAUUAAUGGCCAUAAUUUGUGUUUUUUCAAUUAGUGGCCAAAUAUUGUGUUUGCAUGUUCAAUGUGGCCAUUUGACACCAUUGUUUCUAUGUUAUAAGUGUUAUAUGUGUGUGUGUUAAUAGGCAAAAAUGUUCAAUCAUCUUACGUUAUAUGUUAUAAAUGUCUUUUUUUAUUAAUUAAUAUGACGAGAUUCUUUAUAUUGUUAAUAGGUACAUAAAUGGAUACCUAAAAUUUGAGGAUCGAGUCAAUAUGAAACGAACAAAUGUUAUGAUUUUAUUUGUAAGUACAAAAUUCUUAAUUAUUUGUAAUAUUGAAUUUGCCCAUCGUCCUAUUAAUUUAGUUUUUAAAAUAUUGUACCUUGCAUGCGUGUUGACUUAACUUCUAACAUAAACACUAAUACUCUACACACAUAAUACAUUUUAAUAUAAUUUUUUAGUCAUAUUAACUCUUUAACACAAAUAACAUUGAUCUACACAUAAUUUCAAAUAUUUGAUUAAUUUUUUAGUGAAAUAAUAGUAUUUGUAAACUAAUCGAUCAAAAAAAUAAAUAAAUUAUGUUUGGGUUAUAUGCAUGUUGAAAUAAUUUAUAUACUCUUAAGUAUGACUAUAUUAAAUUAAAAAAAAACUAUAUUUUGUAACAUAAAUUUUAAUAAAAUCACAUUACAUUGAAUGUCAUUAAUAAAACAUUUAACAUUACAUACGAAGGAGGUUUAUCUCAAGUGAUAAAAUUGAGAUAUUAAUAAUUUUCUUUUUGCAAAAAAUCGUUAGUUUAAAUUUCAUCAAUAUUGUGUGGAUGAUAUUUUUUUUAUUUAUUUGAUUAUUUCGUCCAAUUUAUACUAACUUAAAUGUAAAUUUAAUAAUUUAAUUAUUUCAUUGUAUUAUAUAUAUAUAUAUAUAUAUAUAUAUAUAUGUGUGUGUGUGUGUGUGUGUGGUCUAUUUCAAUUGAGAAAAUGCCCUAAGAGUAAGAAUAAAGAAUAAAUCCUAUCCCUUGAAUAGAACAUAUCCGACGGCCUAGAUUAGUUCAUAAAAUGUGUUUCUUAAUUGGUUGAAUAUGAUAAUAAAUACAAUUUCGUUCAGAAGGUUAUUUAAGUAAAAAUGAUAUGUACCGAAUUCGGUAUACAAUAUCAAAUCACUAAAAUAUCUCAAACUUCCAAAUUUGUUGCGAUCUUGUUUCAUUUCUAUGAAUCUCGGAUUAUAGCUUUUAUUUAUUUCCAAAAUUCUAUGAACUUUAUGUAAUUUCUUGAUGAACUUAUAAUUAGGGUGGUGAACUUAUAUUUAUUUGUCUUUGAACAGUUUUAUUGAACUUAUAUUUAUUUGUCUAUGGUGUAGCGUCGGGGCUCUCUUUUUUCUUUUAAUAAAAUUUCUAUUUCAGCAGCAUAUUUAUUUGUCUAUGAACAUAUCUAUAAAUCGAAAUAUGUGCUCGUUGAACAAAUGGAAAUACGUUAUAAGAAAAUCAUCAGUUUGCGCGUUAAAUAUAUUAUAACUAGUGUGUAACCCGUUGAAAUUCGACGGGUACUUACUCUAGUUAUAUUUAUAAUUAUAAUAAAUAAAAUAAUAUUUAUAUUAAAGUAAUGAAUUUGUUAUGCAAAUAACGAUUUUACUAUUUAUUUUCAUCACAAAAAUAUAUAGUAACUUGUGUUAAAUAUCCACACAUAUUUAUAUUUACAAAUAUAACUUAUCACAAUAAUUGGUUAUCCAUCUUAUUAGAGACUCGAAUAUUGAAGAAUAAACAUUCAUAUACAAAAUUAAGAGAUAAUUAAAAAAAAUCAUGUGAACAUGUUUAUUAUAAUGUUCAUUCAAAUAUAUUAGUUUGUUUGGCCUUCACAUUAAUUACUUGUAAUCAAAGUGUCUAUUGGUGUCUCGCUAAAAAUGGUCAAACGAUUUGAUUACUCCUAAUUAUGGCAAUUAACGUAUAUAGCUUAUAGGUAAUUUACUAUCAUAACCUCUAAUGAAUUGGAGGCUGGCGAAUUAUUCGCGAAUAUAAACCACCGGAUUAAGUUAGAUGGAUGGUCUAAAUUAUUUCUCAAUUCUCACUACAUUUAUAUUUUCUCAAUUAAACCUUCGCACUCUAUAGAAAAUGACUCUUAGUUUAAGAAUAAGGAAGUAAUCUGGUCCCUUAAUUUCAUUGAAUCUAGCGGUUCAGAUUUUAUCAUUUAAAUGAUUUCAAUAAUUAAUAUAAAGGCAGAAAAUUAGUUGUAAAUCCGAUAGGGUUAUAUAGGUAAAUUGUAGUUCGUCAGAUUUAUGAAAAAUAAAAUAAAAUUCCGUGAUUGUCUCAAAUCCUUAUUGACCACCGAUGAUAUGGGGUCUGGCCAUAUUGUUGAACACAAUUUUUUUCCCCAAUGAACAUAUGAGAUGUUGGGAUGAACAUAUAUGUUUUCAUAAAACGUCGGUUGUUUAUGUUGACUCGCUCUUUGGGCUGAAUGUUGAGGCUCCACACACGCUUCCACAGCUGGGAACCUCAAUCAGUCGAGGUGGAAGCCGGAGCUUUGUAGAAAUCUAAUGAAAGAAGGUAGCCUGAUUUCACUUUGUAUUGUCCUUUCUCAUCAUAGUAAUUGAUAUUUUGGUUAUCUAUCUAAUCUACUCGGUUGUUCAUGUUGACAAUUUUUGUUGAACUUAUACAGUGUAUUUAAUGAACCUAUGAGAUGUGCAUUUAUUGGCCUGAUAAUAUUAUAGGACAAAUAAUAUGUUCAUAAGUUCAUAUUAUAAAGUUUGUCAAAAUCAACACUAAUGUUCGUCAAAUUUGGGGUAUAAUCAAUAAAAUGCCAACUAAUGAGAAAUCUUGAAAGAUAUCAAAUUCUCGAUACACGUAUUAGAGUAUAUAGAAUGUGGGUUGUUUACCAUAAUUCAUUCAUUCUGCAAGCAGAAAAAAAUAUUUAACACGUUCAGACGUUUGUUCGUAUGACGUAUCUGUUGAACAAUUAAUUAAUCAAAUAUAUUGAACGAGACAAUAAAUAAACUAAAGAAACAUAAACAAAAUGUCAAUUUCUAUGGAAUAUGUUUUAACCGACACAAUUGGUUCAGCAAAACAUAGGUCAUGUUCAUCUUUUCUCAUCAAAGUUAUUCCAUGAAUCAAACUAGAUAAAGCUGAACAAAAACAUGGUCACCAAAAAUUCAGUUCACAACUGUGAAUAUAGAACGUUCAAUAAAACAAUAUAAAUGAACUUAUAAUACCCAAAACUGAUGAACUGUGAUAUUAUGUUCUACUUCUAUUUCUAAAAAAACGUAAAAUCAAUGUAUUACCUGAUGAGUCCAUGGAAGCCAUACUAUUUUAUCUUUUUUGUUCGGAGAAUGGCGGUAGUAUGAUGAAAGGCAGAAACUAAAGAAAAAAAGGUAAAAUGUUGAAACGUAUCUUACCCUAAAAUAUGCUAUAAUUAAUUUGAUGUCAUUGCUAUAAUUAAGGGAUAUUAUUAAAGUAAAAUUAAAAUGGCAUCCUUGAUCGUGUACUGAUGGAUUAAUCACAGUCAAUGUAAUGGAUUAAUCACAGCCAUUCGAUGAAGCAUUUUAAAGGGGUGAGAUUAUUUCUCUAUUAUUUGCAAAUAUUUAUUUUCUUGUAGAACUUUCCCAUAUAUAUAGGGGGGCGCUCCAGUGAGACCCCCUAUUUUUCGUGUAACAUGAGUACAAUGAAUAAGACAUAUAAUACUAAUGAACAAAAUGUAUAUCUAAUGAACAAGAUGUAUAUACUGAUGAAAAAUAAAAUUUAAAAAAAUCAUAAUGAAUAAGACAUAUAUACUGAUGAACAGGGCCGUAUAUACUGAUGAACAAUGCAGUAUAUACUGACGAAUAACAAAAUUUAAAAUAUUCUGCUCCCUCCAGGAUUCGAACCCUGCGAAAAAAAACACCCUCAGAUACAAUAUCAGCCAUAGGAUGAUAAAAUAAACGCACCAGAUCGUGCCCUAGAUCUCACUAAAAUUAGGGGGUCUCAUUGGAGGCCCCUAUAUAACAUCCAUAACGAAUAAAACAAAUCUAUCAGAUCUAACCUAUCUUUAAUUUAAUUGUAAUAUUUUUUAAAUCUUAUUUUAUAAUCAAAAGGUUAAGCAUGUCAUUUUCUAUUUAACCCUAAUCUCACUCCUCCAACCUCUCUCUCUCUCUCCCUCGACAUGCCUCUUGCUCCCUGACAGCAGCAGCGGCCGUCCAGCCCCCACCAGAUCUGGCGCAUGAUUCCUUUUUCGACCGGCAGAAACGGUCGCCGUCGCCGCCACCGUGACAGGCAGCAGCAGUCGGCAGGCCGCCGCCUCCCCUGCUUCCCUCUGUCUGGCUUGACUACAGCCAUUCUCCAAUAUUCAUCUCUAAAUCCUUCAUCCCCGCCACCUUCCCAAUCGCCUCCAUCUCUCCUGCUGCUGCUCCGCCGCCUCCCCAAUCGCCUCCAUCUCUCCUCCUGUUGCUCCGUCGCCUCCUCCUCUGCUCCGCCUCCCCAAUCGUCGUGGGCGCCUCCUCCUCUGCUCCGCUAGUUCAUGCACUCAUCUGUACUUCGAUCGGCGGCAGCAACGACCGCAAAUCCGCCCAGCCGCCGCCUCCCUUUUUCAGAUCUUACAUUGCCGUCGCCGCCCUUGCUCCUCCGGUGAGGACGCCGCCUAUCGCCCUUGUUCAUCGAUUUUUUCCAUGUGUUCAUCGAUAUUUUUGUACUGUAUUCGUAGAAAAAUAUAAUGAACAUGAUAAUGUUCAUUGUCAUGUUUGUAGUGUGUUCGUAGUGUGUUUGCAGAAAAAAAAUAAAUGUUCAUCGAUUUUUUUGUACUGUGUUCGUUGAAAAAUAAAUGAACAUGAUAAUGUUCGUAAAAAAACAAAUGAACAUACUAAUGUUCAUCAAUAUGUUCGUAGGAAAAUAAAUGAACAUACUAAUGUUCACCUAUUAUGUUCAUUGACGGAUCAGGUCCCAGAAUUGGAAGAGAGUAAUUUUCGGGAUUUGUUCAACCAGAUGCCAUAAUUCGUGGAUUUGAGUGGACGUUUUUGCCCUUUUUGGAUUAAAUAAAUGUAAUUAACCAAUAUUUAAUUACAUGAAAAAUCAAAUCAGGAAAUAAUCUGGAUCAUUGAUUGGAUUGAGAUGAAUGGCCUUGAUUUGGUCUUCAUUCUCUAUAUAAGAAGUGGUCUCCAUAGAAUGCGACCCUAUAUAUAUAUAUAUAUAUAUAUAUAUAUAUAUAUAUAUAUAUAUAUAGGGAGAGAUUCAAAUAAGAACCACUAAAUAAAAUUAAAACAGAGAACCAUUUUAAACCAUUCGAUCAUCAAGAUCUACGGUGGAUGUAUCAUCUUGGUGGAUGAAUGCAAAUCCUGGGUUCGAAUCCUGAAGGGAGCAAAAAAUUUAUUAUUAUCGGAUGCAUUAAUUUAUAUAGUAUAUGCAUUGAUUUUAAUGGUUCUUAUGUUCUUGAAAAAUUCUCUCUCUUGAGAAGUCAAAAAAGGAGGAUAUCACGCCGGAUAUCCCUCCCUCGAAUCCCUCCCACCGGGCUGCCGCUCGCCGGCGUCGCGAGCCAGCCGCCCGUCGCCGACCACGUCCCUGCUCUCUUUGCCGCCUGUCUCGCUUCCUGUUCCGGAGACCUCGCGCCGCCGCAGCUUUGAGCCUCGGAGCACGCAGCAGCAGUCUCCGUCCAUCACGCACCAGCAGCCUCCGGACAGCAAGCAGCAGCACCCUCCGGCCAGCACGCAGCAUCAACCUCAGAGCAUCUUCGAGAUUGGAGAGCACGCUGCUGCGUACUGUUCACCAACGACCUCCACCAUAAGUUGUUGCUGCUGCUGCACGGCGGUUGCAGGCACCAUCAGCCGAUCUGCAGCAGGCGACUAUCCUCCGGCUCCGGCUCCAUAGCCGAUCUGCAUCAGGUGAUCUGCAGCGGGUGUAAGUUGACUAUCGGAUUUCACCUCCGAUUCCCAAUCAACGGCGACCGGACUGUUACCACAGCCACCCGGCGUUAGCCUCUCUAUGCUUAAGGAAUAUGCAGUUCUUUGCUGAGAUUGCCGGCACGCCGUCGAACGUCCACCAACCGAUGCCGCCAACGUCGCCGAUCAAUCCACCGACGCCAACGAUACAAAUCAACCAACAACAGCCGAUAAUGGUUGAUAAGGCAGGGCUGAAUCUGCCGCAAGUUUCCAAUAAUUUCUCUACUCAACGUCAUAGCCAUGGAGAAUGUCACGACAAAGAGAAAUUUGAUGUUGAAUCUUCAAAGGGUGUGGCUGAGGAAUCUACGCCGACGUCUUUUGCUGGUAGAACUUCUGGAAAUUCACAGGAUCAUAAAAUCACUACAUCCAAUACUAACGUUUCGGAUUUGAUCAAGGGAGACAAUACUAAGAAGGCCUCGGCGACGGAGUUUCACCGACCGAGCACCACUUCUUUGCUUCACUUCUGAGGAGACCCCGACAAAUUGAACGUACGCCGGAUGUGCUUGUUCAUCGAUUCACUUCACUGCAACCGGAUUUCUCUGGUGAAAUACCCACGCUUAGGGUCCCAAAAGAGCAUCUGCUGCCCAAAAUAAAUCAAUUUGAGCAUGCUUUAAUUGGUCGUCUUCUACUGAGGAAAGGAGAGAAGCCGCGUCUUCUCACUGAUCUUAAACGUGAUCUUCAGGUGGCUUGGAAUAUUGACAAGGAUUGGCAAAUCAUCCCCAUGGGAAAGAGCUUCUACACUAUUAAAUUUAAUACCGCUGAAGACAAGGCGUUUGGAUGCGCAUUUAUUAUUUGCCCUUAGAAUUUUGGACUCUGGAUGUUAUUACGGGUAUUGGAAGGGCGAUGGGAUCGCCUAUUAAAGUUGAUGGAGCUUCUGCACGUGGUGCUGCUGGACAUUAUGCUCGAAUUUUGUUGGAAAUUGAUCUCUCGCGUCCUCUUCCGGAGGCUUUGCUGGUUGACGGGGAAGAACGUACCUUUCACGUCGAAUUUGAAUUCGAACAACUCCCGGCCUUCUGCUCUAAGUGUAAGAUCACUGGACAUUCUAUUGAUAACUGCAAUAAAAUGAAGAACAAAUCCAGCGAGGACAGCAGGAAUGGGAAGGCCAAAGAUAUGUUGCUGGGUAAAGACAAGGAAAUAAUUAAUAAGGGAGCUGCCAAUGAGGUUAGGGCACCUAACUGGAAGCCAAAAUCUUGGGACCAGAAUAGGACUGCCCAACCUCACAAACCGCAGAUUAUCACUGAAAAUCAGUUUGGGGUUUUGGAACAGGUGGCUGUCGAAGAAGAGCAGAUUCUAAAUCAGUUGGGGGUUUUGGAACAGGUUGCUGUUGAAGAAGAGCAGAUUCAGACACCGUGGGAAACAAAGAACCACAAUCAGUCGUUUGCUUUAACUGAUCGGAAUGUUGAUUUUGAGGAUGUCAAUGGAGAUAGAUUGACGUCGGGUCCGGAUAUCUUACAGGCGAUCACUGUGCCGGUUACGGAAGAGAUAGAUUCGGGAGAGGAGUCUGAUGGGCAGUCGGAUGAUGGCAAGACACGGGCUGAAGCAGAUUCACAACAGAUCGUCAUUUACGAAAGUUCGGUCAAUCGGGAUAAAAAUUGUGAGAAACAGGAAAGGAUGAUGGAAAGCGCUAUCAAAGCUCAGCGGAUAGUGGAAACUUUCAGGAAUUGUGAGGCGGAGGCGCAGGUGAAAAAAAGGGGGAGACCGCCGAAAGAUUUAGCGGCAAAGAAUCCGAUUAUUCGUGGGGAAGAUAGUAUCAAGAGUCGUCUCCGGAAGUCGGUGGAGCAACAACCUCACCAGCAACCUAAUCAACAGGCUGAAGAUUUCAUCAAAAAUAAACUUUACAAAGCUUGGGAAGCAGGAGAUAAACCUAGAGAUUUCAUUAUUACGUCUGGGAGCUCGAAGAAUGAUACAGCCCUGAAUAAUGUGGCAGCCAAGAGUUGGGCAGCUGAAGUGGAAUCGGGUGAAAACCCGAACACGAAUUCUCAGUCUUUAUGAUGAAUGUCCUCGUAUGGAAUGUCCGGGGCCUUACGGACGAGUCCAAACGAGUUUUAAAGGAGCAUUGCGACUCCUUCUCCCCUGUUAUUGUUGGGAUUAUUGAGCCUAAGACGAAUCUCAAGAAGACUUACUCUAGAUUUUGGCGUUCUCUGAAUCUUAUUCCUUGUUUUCAAAAUUCAAGAAACAACAUGAGUUCGAAUAUUUGGGUUUUUCUCUAUCCUUCUGUUACUCAUGAUGUCAUUUUCUCCUCGUAGCAGGUGGUUAUCAUGAACUGCAGAUGGUCGACGUGGAAUUUUAAAAUUGCGGUGGUGCAUGGCGUUAACACGUAUGCUGGCAGACGGCGCUUGUGGUUGGAUCUUCUGGAUCAUAUUGAUGGUAAUGUUGUCUUUAUUGGCGAUUUUAAUGCGGUGAAAGGCGCCCAUGAAAGAAGUAGUGACUGUAUGCCUAACUCUACUUCUUGUGCGGAGUUCUGUGAUUUCAUUGAAGCCUCCGGUUUCAUUGAGGCGCCUACGGUUGGUCUGCAUUAUACGUGGUCUGGUCGUAGAUUUAUGCCAACCCAUGUGGAGUCUCGUCUGGAUAGAGCGAUUUAUGCUGACUCUUUUGCGAAUCUCUGGAGUUCGGUUUUUGUUCAAGCUCUUCCACGUAUUACCUCGGAUCAUUCGCCGCUUGUUCUUCAUUGCAUGGUGGAUGCUCCUCCUCGCCAUCGUUUCUUUAAGUUCCUUAACAUGUGGACCUUACAUCCGGAUUUUCUCAAUACAGUGGAAGGGUCCUGGCAGAUGGAUACCGAGAUUGGCUGCCCGAUUUUUAAAGUAUGCAUAAAUUAAAGCGUCUUCGGCAGNUAAAUAAUAUAUAAUAUCAUAUACAACUACUAUAUAUAUAUAUAUAUAUAUAUAUAUAUAUAUAUAGGGGGCGCACUCCAGUGAGACCCUCUAUUUUUCGUGAAACAUAAGGACAAUGAAUAAGACAUAUAAUACUAAUGAACAAGACGUAUAUCUAACGAACAAGAUGUAUAUACUAAUGAAAAAUAAAAUUUAAAAAAUUGGUAAUGAAUAAGACAUAUAUACUGAUGAACAAGGCGGUAUAUACUGAUGAACAAUGCAAUAUAUACUGAUGAAUAACAAAAUUUAAAAUAUUCUGCUCCCUCCAGGAUUCGAACCCUGCGAAAAAAAAUCACCCUCCAGAUACAAUAUCAGCCAUAGGAUUGAUGAAAUAAACGCACCAGAUCGUGCCCUAGAUCUCACUAAUAUUAUAUAUAUAUAAUAUAGGGUGUGAUUCUAGAGAGAACUACAUUAUUUGUGAGAACGUGAGAACCAUCAAAUCUAAUGCAAUCACUGUAAAACUUAAUGCAUUCGUUGUUAAAAUUAAUGCACUCAAAAAAAUAAAAAUAAAAUUGCUCCCUUCAGGAUUCGAACUCAGGAUCUGCAUUCAUCCAACAAGAUGAUGCAUCCACCAUAGAUCUUGAUGAUCGAAUGGCUAAAAAUGGUUCUCCGUUCUUCUUUUAUUUAGUGGUUCUUUCUUGAACCUCUCCCUAUAUAGGGGAGUGUUCCAAUGAGAUCCCCUUAUAUGUGGUGAGAUCUUAGAUUGAUUUGUAAGUGUUGAUUUAAUAUAUUUUAUGACUGAUAUUUGUUUGGAGGGAGGAAAAUUUUACCAUGGUUCGAAUCUUGGAGGGAGCAAAAAUUUUACUAAUUUUUUGAAUAUCGUAACAACACUAAAUACCGUCUUAUUCAACAUUAUAUACUGUCUUAUUCAUUAAUCUCACGAAAUAUAACAAUCUCACUAGAACCUACCCCUAUAUAUAUAGGGUGUGGUUCUGUAGUUCUAGAGAGAACUACAUUAUUUGUGAGAACGUGAGAACCAUCAAAUCUAAUGCAUCCACUGUAAAAAUUAAUGCAUUCGCUGUUAAAAUUAAUGCACUCAAAAAAAUAAAAAAAAUUGCUCCCUUCAGGAUUCGAACCCAAGAUCUGCAUUCAUCCAACAAGAUGAUGCAUCCACCGUAGAUCUUGAUGAUCGAAUGACUGAAAAUGGUUCUCCGUUAUUAUUUUAUUUAGUGGUUCUUUCUUGAACCUCUCCCUAUAUAUAUAUAUAUACACACACACGACAAGGACUAUAAGAUAUCAUUCGUUUCAACUAACAUAUCUGUUCAAUUUUUUAUAUAUACAUUUUUUGAUAAAAUUCAAGCUCUAGAAAAUAAUCUAAAUACUUAUGACUUACAUUUCAUUUUAUUAAAGCUCACUCAAAAUAUUCAAUUAUAAAUGGGUUAUUGGCUUCAAAAUACAUGAACUUUAGGCAUUUAUUUGGUUUUUCCCAUCAACUUUCAAAGUUAUCAAAUAAUACAUCAACUUUAAGGUUUGUUGGAAAUUGACACCAUCCAAGUUUUGAAUAUUCAAAAAAUCACCCCAUUCAAAAAAUUUAUUGUGCAAAUACCCCACUUGAUCAAUAAAUUGCUAAUUGCCUUGUUAAAAUAAUUCUUUAUUUUAUAACACCCACGGCCACGCUUGCCACAAAAUGGUAUCAGAGCGGAUUUUUAUAGAGGAAUUAUAUUAUAUUUAAUUUAUUUUGUAAUAAACCCAAAACUGGGAGGAGACUCCAUUAAAAUUAUAAAUCCGGACGAGUGUCCGAGAUGUAUUGUAUAUAGGAAUUCUCUUCAAAAUUUAGAGAGAGAAACUACUCGUCUAUUAGACGACCUCAACUGGAAUAAUAAAGACCUCGUAACGAACAUUCGUCGAGGAGAAGAUGGAGAGAUUAUUCAUGAUAUCCUCACGAGUAUUUAGUUCUACCAUGAACGCCUUAUAGAAAUCGCCGAGACCAGAACGGUAAUUGAACGAGUAAAAGAUGGCGCCCAUCAGUCACACGACUAAUGGAGCAGAAGGACAAAGCUGGAACAGCCUAUCCAGCUUAUCAAAAGAUGGAGCCAAACUCUUCCGACAAUGUCAACUUGCAGGAGAUUCAGAGAACGGUGGAAUAUUAUGGCAACAAGCUAUAUGAUCUACCGAUGGAGAUGAGCCAAAUAUCACUCAAACAAGAGGAAAUCCUAAAACUCUUGCGUGAUAUUCAGGAAAAAAUGGAGGAUAUAGAAAGGCGAAAAUCAUGCUCUGGAAAAAUCCGGAAUACAUGGUCCAAAGACCCAACUUAUCCGCUACCAUUUAAUGCAGCCGGAGGACAUAAUUCGAAUCGUGAAAGGAAAAACCUAUGAAUAACCCUAAUCGAAUCGGAUUAGAGGAUCUACAAGAGUUAGCAGAAUCAUUUGCUAACCUAAAUAUGGUGAUCUAAAGAUAACAGGAGGGAGUGCCCAAACAGAGCACCCCAAGGAAUCUCCAGGAAAGGUGGGCUCGUGAAGAAUCGACAUUAUCAAAACCAGAAGAGCCGCCCAAGUGCAGACACUCUGUAAGGGAAGCCACACUUGAACCAAUCCAUCCUAUACGGAUUAUUCUCAACCUCGAUGAAGCACUUUAAAGAUUGGGAAGUUCUCAUCGAUGACUGGCUUCAGCUAUGAAGGUGUGAUUGCAGAUAGAAUAUGAUAGAAAUGAAUUUAUCAAAAUCUUCGAGGCAAGUUUUGCUGGAAUGCAAAACAAUUUGGAUAAGGCAUCAACGAGGCUAAAAUGAGUUGUUCACCAAAAAUCAGCUCUGAAAUCCUUGAAAAUCCGCCCACAGAUUAAAAUCCAUUUUCUUGGAAUGGUUUCUUUGAAGCAUCAGGAGAAGAGAACGUAAAAAAUAUCGACAACACUUUACAAUCUAAGAUUGGAGUGUGGAGCAAAAGCUCUUGAGAAUUCUUGCGCCUAUAUGCCCUAUAUUCCAUAUGGGUUAGUUGAUGAUCAGACAGCCAGGACCUUUUUUCACAAAGUUUCCGAGUCCAUGGAGGGAAAUGCUCAUCAACGAGUAGUAUCACCAGGAGAAUAUCCACUUGAUAGUGCAUCAAGAAGGAUGUCAUAUGUUCACAAGAAGCUGUCCGAAUGGUGCCAGAAGCGGGACCAGAGAAAUCUCAAGAAAUUGAGAGGCUCAAUAAAGAAUCUCCAUUGAUGUGCAACAAUCUUGACCUUCAACAGAGUUGGGGCUAUUGUAUCAACAAGGAAAAGAAGAAACUAGGUAUCAACCCUAUAAAGAAACCAAGAACAAGCGAGUUUUGGAAGCCAAGAACAUGUGGACCGAGAAGGCACGCUCCUACAAAUCAGGAACGGAGGGACCAUCAAGAGCCAUUCUCUUUUCAAAAAAGAACUCCGGCAAGAAAACUUUCAGGCACCCAAGCCAAACAAAUGAAAGUUUAAGAUUGCAACUGGAGUGCGUGCAAAAGGGAUAUUUCUACCAAUUGCCCGACAACAGAAAAGAGGGAUAAGGAAAUUGAAUCCACACCGAUAUCGAAGACGCCCUCUAAACCAAGAACUGAUACGUGAUAGUUCAAGAUAUAUCCUCUGAUGAGAGUAUAUACGAGCAAGAAGAAGUCUUUAGUUCUAAAGAUUCGGAUAUGACUGAUGGAUCAUCCGGAGACGAGUCAAACUAAGGAGGACGAGGUUAUCCACUUUCAAAAGGAGGAUUAGGAGGGAUAUACCAACCAUUCCCUGAUCCCACAGAAAAAUGUGGUGGAAAAACUCGUGACAAAACUCAAGAACAAAACCAUGGAUAUACAAACGUUCCAAGGGUUUUCAAGAGGAAGAUUGGAUUAAGUUCUACAAAGCUUGAGUCCAUUCAAAAGGAAGCAUCAUGUCCUCUUCGGUACAAUGAGUCGGGAGUUGGCGCUUCCAAUAGAAAUAACGAACAACCAAGUAGAGAUCCAAUUAAUUCCACGAAGAUGUGCGAGGAUCUUAAAAAUGAAGCAGAAGUCGCUAGAACGAUGAAAUGGAUUAUAUUGGAGCAAUCCAAUUGGUAAUCAAGUCCUCAGUCCUCACUUUCACCAGGACAGAUACAAAUGAUAUUGCAAUUGUGACAAAGGAUUACAAAUCCAAGAGAUGCAGUCUGGGAGUCUUCUCAGGCAAUCUCUACCCAAGAAGAUUGUAACCGAAUUAUACCCAAGAUCGCUUAUAAUCUUCAAGAUCAGCCUUCAGUCAGCCCUGACACUCUACCAGCUACAAGAGGAAGAUCUAUUGACGGAGAAAUAGCCGUACUCGAUUACAUAUCAAGUAUCAUAUGCCUAUCAAAUUCCACCACACGAUUUAUUUCGGGGAAGAAUUUUAUUGAAGUCCAGAAGUAUUCAAAGAGUAGCCAAGCAAUUAGCCCGACCGAGUUGAAAUUCCCAAAAUAAGGAAAUUGACAUCCAAUGAGAUAACAGUGCUGAAACAUAAUCAAAGUCUCAGAUUGGGAGCACCGAGGCUAUCGUUCCAAGGAGAUAGGCUGACCUCAAGGCCUUUAGAAAGAAGUUUCUCUCAUUCCUACGAAGAAAGCGAUCCAGGAAAACCAGCUCAAGGCAUAAGAGUGAAACUCAAAUGCCCGAAGGAUGGAGAAUGUUUCCACAAGUUUGAUACAACCGAAAGGAAAAAUCAGUUUCCUUGCAACACGUUGUACUAUUUGGCAAAUCCAGAAAGCAAUCAUAUAUCACUUCUGGAGAUUGGAGGCUUUGAGAUCCAGUCGAGCAAAGCCGGACAAGAAGCUGAGUCCUGAUCUUAGGACGAAAUUUCUUGAAAUUAUCAACCAUGGCAAGGAAAUCAAGGGGGUGGAGAUCACAAUCGCGAAAAGAGGUUGUGAUCCAAUGACAGUCCAUUUCGAUCUACAUCUCUGUGGGGAUGUUAUACGAGAAGUUCAAAGAAGAAUAUUUUGCUGCUUAUACUGAUUCAGGAGCAGGAAUCUGUACAACGAAACGAGGAGUCUUUCCAACAUAAGUGGAAGAAGAACUGCCUCGAAUUGCUCAAAGAAGAUUUUGCUCUUAUCAAAUGGAGUAAAACAGACAGAAAUAUUGAUCGGGGGAGCAGGACAAACACCUUGAUACAAGGUUAAGACUCCACCCAUCUAUUUCCAUGAUACAGGAGCAGAUAUCCUGUUCGGAAAUAAUUUUCUGCAAACCUUCAAAAGGUAUACACAGGACAAUGAAGCCAGAAGGCUUAUGUUCACAACUAAUUAUGACCACAAAAUCAUUGUGCAAAGGCUCGAAGGAGCUUUUAAUCGCUCGAUGCCAGUCAAAUUCCGCAGCAAGCGUGGCGAUGAUGAUGGCAGACUCCGGACACCACAAAUGAAGGAUCAACGGAGAUUCAGAGAUGUUCUGCUUAAAUGCAGAGCCGAGGGAUUUCCAGAUCUCUCCGAGGAAGAAAUACAAAUCCUCAAAGUGUCUUUAAUAUCACACAAAGAUAUUAGAGAAUAAUAACAUGUGUCCAUAGCCGACAUCAAGAGGAGAAUCCAGAAGUGUUAUCACGAGGAUCCUUUAGCAUGGUGGGACAAGAACCAGCUCAAAGCUACAUUGAAAGUUAAAACUGGAAAGGAGCAUGAGUUUGUAAGGUUUAGACCCAUCCUGAUGAACACUCAAGAUCAGUAGGAUAUGAGGAGCAUAAUCAAGGAACACCUUGAUUUAAAGUUGAUCGAACCAGGAAACUCACCUUACAGCAGUCCUGGAUUUCUAGUGAGAAAUCAUGGGGAGAUCAAACGAGGAAAACCAAAAUUGGUCAUUAAUUACAAAGGGAUUAAUGACAUUCUUGAGUUCGAUGGAUAUUUCAUCCCGAGCAGAGAACACCUUAUCAACUGCAUCAGAAGUGCAAACGCAAAGUUUGAUUGCAAAUCAGGGUUUUACCAGAUUAGCAUGGAGGAAGGGAGUAAGAAGUUCACGGCCUUCUCAAUUCCACAAGGACAUUAUGUCUGGAAUGUCAUGUCAAUGGGGCUAGCCAACGCACCUCAGAUAUUCCAAAGAAAGAUGGAUAAUCUUUUUAAGGAUUAUUCUUCAUUCAUGUUUGUUUAUAUUGAUGAUAUUCUUAUUGCAUCAAAAGACAUUCACGAACAUGUCAGGCAUCUGGAAAUCUUUGCGGAGGUUUGUCAACAAGAAGGAUUGGUGCUGUCUGAAAAUAAAGCAGUCGUGGCAACCCAGAAGAUGAAAUUUCUGAGAAUCGAGAUCGAUGAGUCUAGGAUAAUUCUACAAGAUCAUAUUGUGGAAAAGGUCCAGAAAUUCCCAGAAAUUCUCAAAGAGAAGAAGCAGCUCCAAAGCUUUCUGGGAGUUGUUAACUUUGCAGGGAUGUUCAUCAGAAACCUUGCAGAGCAUAGGAAAAUCUUCAGUCUUAUACUAAAGAAAGAUGUUCCAUUCGUAUGGAAGGAUGAACAUCGCGAGGGUAUGAAAAAGCUAAAAGAGAUUUGCAAAAAUCUCCCAAAGCUUUCAAUACCACAAGAUGAGGACGAACUAGUCCUAUACACCGACGCGAGUAAUUUCUGGUAGGGAUGGCAAUCGGGUACGACGGGUACGGAUAGUGACUAUCCAUACCCAUACCCACGAACUAAAUGGAUAGUGGUUUCUAACCACGAAACUAUCCAUGGAUAUCAAAUGGUAUCCAAACCCGCUACCCGCGGAUAUCCGUUACCCGUCGGGUAUCCGCGAACCCGCUAUCCGACGGGUAUCCGUCACCCGCUAUUUGCCGGAUAAAAACGACUGUGUUAAGGGCAUAGGGGAAUCAGGGUUUAGGUUUAGCUGAAUAUUAGACUUUGGGCCUUAUUGUCCGGGCCUAUUUUAAGAUAUAAAAUGCUAGCCCAUAAUCUCAAAAUAUAUAUUCAAAGCCCAUAUUUUAUAGAAUUUUUUGUGGAUAUUUGAUGGGUAAUUGACGGAUAAUUGACGGGUAAUUUUCGCGGGUAAACGGGUUUCGCGGGUAUGGAUAGUAAGUAUCCAAACCCAUACCCACGAACUAAAUGGAUAGUGAAUUGCAACCAUGAAACUAUCCGUGAAUAUCAAAUGGUAUCCAAACCCACCCUAAUGGGUUCGGGUUUUCGCGGAUAUCCGCUACCCGCGGGUAGAUUGCCAUCCCUAAUUUUUGGUGGGCAGCUGUGCUCACUAAAAUCACCCCUUAUGGAGAGGAACCAUGCAGAUACUGUAGCGGUCUCUUUUCCGACAGUGAGGCUGUGCGAUGGCACAUCAACGAGAAUGAGUUCUAUGCAGUUAGAAAGGCGUUUAAAAAAUUUAUCUUGAAAAUCUUUACUUGCGAAGAAAUUCGUUUUGAAAGUCGAUAACACUAAUGUUAAGGCUUUCUUAACCAAGAAAAUAGAAUCUAAACCUGAAAAAGC